This 51968-nucleotide long non-coding RNA is filed under the name Vitis vinifera (wine grape). RNAcentral's name for it is "long non-coding RNA (VVIN_LNC004885)". The record is from RNAcentral. Lineage: Eukaryota; Viridiplantae; Streptophyta; Magnoliopsida; Vitales; Vitaceae.
AUAUCAUCACCAUCUUCAUCAACUGAUGAGGCAGAGGCUCUGCGCAGCACCGGUUGGUGGAAUUCUACCUCUGCUCAUUGCCACUGGGAUGGUGUAUAUUGCAAUAAUGCCGGAAGAGUGACUGGAAUCGCCCUUUACGGUUCAGGAAAAGAAUUGGGUGAGCUUAGCAAAUUGGAGUUUUCUUCAUUUCCCAGCCUGGUUGAGCUCAACCUUUCUGCCUGUGGACUCAAUGGUAGCAUCCCGCACCAAAUAGGUACUCUUACUCAACUCACUGUUCUUUCUCUCCAUGAUAACAAUCUUACAGGUGAGAUACCUCUGUCCUUGGCUAACCUCACUCAGUUGCUCUACCUCACCCUUUGUUCUAAUCCACUACAUGGUUCGAUUCCUCCUGAAAUUGGGAAAAUGAAGAAUCUGAUUUUUUUGGAUUUGGGUUAUAGCAACCUUAUUGGUGUCAUCCCUUCAUCUUUUGGUAAUCUUACCACUUUGACUACUCUCUAUCUUGAUGGUAAUCAAAUAAGUGGUUUUAUCCCUCCUCAAAUUGGGAAAAUGAAGAAUCUGAAGUCGCUUUUACUUUCUUAUAAUGGACUACAUGGUCCAAUUCCUCCCGAAAUUGGGAAAAUGAAGAAUCUGAAUAAGUUGAAUCUGGGUUAUAACAACCUUACUGGUGUCAUCCCUUCAUCUUUUGGUAAUCUUACCAAUAUGAAUUCUCUUUCUUUUCGAGGUAAUCAAAUCAGUGGUUUUAUUCCUCCUGAAAUUGGGCAUCUUUUGAAUUUAUCAUAUUUAGAUCUCAGUGAGAAUCAAAUCAGUGGUUUCAUCCCCGAAGAAAUGGUAAAUUUGAAGAAAUUGAGUCAUCUAGACAUGAGUAAUAACUUAAUAAGUGGAAAGAUACCUUCACAGUUGGGAAAUUUGAAAGAAGUAAAAUACUUCAAUCUCUCCCACAAUAACCUCUCUGGCACCAUUCCUUAUUCUAUUUCUAGUAACUACAGAUGGACAUUGAUUGAUUUAUCAAACAAUCGGUUGGAGGGUCAAGCUAGAGCUCCGGUAGAGGCAUUUGGCCACAACAAAGGUCUAUGUGGUGAAAUCAAAGGUUGGGCACGAUGCAAGAAAAGGCACCAAAUCACACUCAUCAUUGUUGUUUCUUUAUCUACAACCUUGUUGCUUUCAGUUGCAAUCCUUGGUUUUCUCUUCCAUAAACGAAGGAUCAGAAAAAAUCAAUUACUCGAGACAACAAAGGUGAAAAAUGGAGAUCUAUUUUCCAUAUGGGACUUCGAUGGUGUGAUUGCUUAUCAAGACAUCAUCCAAGCAACCGAAGAUUUUGACAUCAAAUACUGCAUAGGCACGGGAGGCUAUGGGAGCGUUUAUAGAGCACAACUACCUUCCGGGAAGGUGGUUGCCUUGAAAAAACUUCAUGGAUGGGAAAGAGAGGAUCCAACUUACUUGAAAAGCUUUGAAAAUGAAGUUCAAAUGCUAACAAGAAUACGACAUCGUAAUAUUGUGAAACUUCAUGGCUUUUGUCUACAUAAGAGAUGCAUGUUUCUAGUUUACAAAUAUAUGGAGAAAGGAAGCUUGUAUUGUAUGCUAAGGGAUGAAGUUGAGGCUGUGGAAUUGGAUUGGAUUAAGAGGGUGAAUGUUGUUAAAAGCAUUGCUAAUGCUUUAUCCUACAUGCAUCAUGACUGCGACUUGCCCAUCAUUCACCGAGACAUAUCAAGUAAUAACAUUCUUUUGGACUCUAAGCUUGAAGCUUUUGUGUCGGAUUUUGGCACUGCAAGAUUGUUAGAUAAUGAUUCAUCCAAUCGAACCCUUCUUGCAGGCACUUACGGUUAUAUUGCACCAGGUAAGCUAGAUUAUAAUCUUCACUAGUUUUCAUUACUUAUGAAUCUUUUCAAUUGUCACACCCUUACAAAAUUCCAAAAGUUUUUUAGAUCGAGAAUUCAAAAUAUUUUAUAAGUUUUCUCUAUAUAAAUAACAUGAAUGCUCAUUUUUUUUCUCUAUAUUUUGUAGAGCUUGCUUAUACUAUGGUUGUGACUGAAAAAUGUGACGUUUAUAGCUUUGGGAUGGUUGCAUUGGAGACGAUGAUGGGAAUGCAUCCAGGAGAAUUUAUCACCUCAUUAUCAUCUUCAUCAACUCAAAACACAACGUUAAAGGAUGUAUUGGAUUCACGUCUUUCAUCUCCUAAAAGUACACGAGUUGCUAAUAACAUAGCUCUUAUAGUGUCAUUGGCGCUCAAAUGUCUCCAUUUUAAUCCACAAUUUUGUCCAUCCAUGCAAGAAGUGUCUUCGAAACUUGUUUCUACAAGGUCAUUCCCACAACCCAUCAGUGCAAUAUCACUUUUGCAACUAAAAGAUGAAGUUAUUUAAAUGCCAUGUGAGUUGGUAUGUAAUUAGAGUGAAGAUGUUUACUUUCCAUUUUUCUUUUUCAUGCAUGCUAGUAAUGAGAAUUUUAUAAUAUAUGUAUCCCUUCUUUCCUAUUAAUUACUCAAAUGCAAAUUUUCUAUUUGUUUUUCCAAAGCGACAAUAGCGUAAUGCGAUACAAAGAAUUACAUCAAAUUGAUACACAAUGAUCUAUAAACUUUUAAUGAACCAUGUCAUUCUGAUUAAUAAUUUUUUAUAAUGAUUCUUCUUUGGACAAAAAUCCUUCUUUUUCUUUUAUCAAUUUUAACAUAUAUACCAUUUUCUCUAUUUUCAUAUUCUAAUCAAUCAAAUUAGUGACAUUUCUUGUAAAUGUGACAAACCUAUUGUCAAAGACAUUAAAAAAAUAAGGGAAAAAACAAAUUGAAUAAUUUCAAUAUGAUUGUCUCUACAUGAUGAAGAUAAUAAAUUUAUUUUAUUUAUUUUUAAAAUACUGUUUUAUCCAUUUUUCCUAUAUCAUCUAAAAUUUUGUCUAAAAUAAAAUUAUUUGAUUUUGUAUAAGAAUACUUAAAAAUGUGGGUGGGAAUGUGGGAUACUAGGAUGACGCUAAAACACUAAAUGACAUACUUGUGAUACAAUAUUAAGAAAUUAUUUCAUAAUGUUUUAUAAUUUGUUUCUACUAUUUAGUCACCCAUAAAUAUCAAUUUUAAAAAUAUUUAAUGAUUAAAGAAAAUUAAGUGAGAUAUAAUUAAAAUAACUCUAAAAAUUUUAUUUUCCCAUCAUGGAAUAACAUAAUUGAUAUUCAUACUAAUGAUUUUAUUAAGAUAAGAUACCUAGUCGAUAAAAGGUCCUUGAUUUUAUAUAAAAUUAGACAUUAUAUUUACUUAAAUUAUUUUCAUAAUAGUAGCAUAUUUUUUACUUUAUAAUUUCUUGUAACUUAACAAUUUAUAAUAAUGAUGAUAAUAAUAACAACGACAUUAAUUAAUAAUACCAAUAACAGUAACAGUAAUGAUAGUCAUCAUUUUGUAAGAGAGAAAUCCUCCUAAUUUCUUUAAAAUUUUAACACACUAUUUCUCAAGUUUCCAUUCUAAUCAAUCAAAUUUUGUAAGAUUUUUAUUGACACAAUGAAUCUAUUGUCCAAGGUGUACAAUAAGAAUGGGAAAAAAAAACAAAUUGAAUAAUUACACAACAAUGUGGUGAAGAUAAUAAAUUUAUUGAGUUUAUUUUUAAAAAUCCCACCUUAUUUAUUUUCCAAAGUAUUUAAAAUUUUGUACAAAAUAAAAUUAUUUGAUCAUGUACAAGAAGAGCACUAAAAAAUAUUGGUGGGAGUGUGAAAAUAGUAUCAUCCAACCCAAACACCAAAUGACAUACAAGUGAUGCUUAUUAAGUCAUAUUUAAAAAAAAAAAAAAACAAUACUAUUUAAAUUGAAUAAUUUAGGUGAACUAUGAAGACAAGUACGACAUUUUCAUAUUCUAAUCAAUCAAAUCAAUGAGAUUUCUUGUGAAUAUGACCAACCCAUUGUUAAAGGCAUACGAUAAAUUUAGGGAAAAAACAAAUUGAAUAAUUUCAAUAUGAUUGUCUUUGCAUGAUGAAGAUAAUAAAUUUAUUCUAUUUAUUUUGGAAAUACGAUUUUAUCCAUUUUUCCUAUAUCAUUUAAAAUUUUGUAUAAAAUAAAAUUAUUUUAUUUUGUAUAAGAAUACUUCAAAAUGUUGGUGGGAAUGUGGAAUAGUAGGAUGACACUCAAACAACAAAUGAUAUACUUGUGAUGCAAUAUGAAGAAAUUUUUGUAAUAUUUUACAAUUUGUUGCUACUACUUGGUCACCUAUAAAUGUCAAUUGUAAAAAUAUAUAAUGAUUGAAGGAAAUUAAGUGAGAUAUGAUUAAAAAAAUCUAAAAAUUUUAUUUCUUAUUUUGGAAUAACAGAAUUGAUAUUCAUACUAAUGAUUUUAUUAACAUGAGAUAGCUAGUUGAUAAAAUGUCCUUGAUUUUACAUAAAAUUAGACAUUAUAUUUAUUUAAAUUAUUUUCAUAAUAGUAGCAUAUUUGUAAAAUAUAUGAAACUCUAUUUAAAUUGAAUAAUUUAGGUAAACUAUGAAUACAAGUAUAACACUAAUGCUCCUCAUUUUAUUGAAAUAUUAUAAAACAUAUCAUGAAGGGUGUAGUUAAGGAUAUAAAAAUUUGGCUGUUGGACCAAGGACUAACCUAAGUCCGUCUAAAUAUUUUAGUUCGAAUUCUAAUUUGGCCAUUAUCUUGCCUUAGCCCUAUCCUUUAAGGUUGGACUUUAGUUUAUCCUUUCUAGAUGUCGUUGAGAAUCAAAUCAAUGGUUCCAUUCCUCCCGAAAAUAGGGAAUUUGAAGAAUUUGUCUACUCUAUACAUGAGCAAUAACUUAAUAAGUGGAAAAAUACCUCUCUAGUUUGGAAGUUUGAAUUAAAGGUGGUGAAUUCAAUUCCCUAAUUUCACUUAUAAAUAGAGGUGACUUCCUUCAGCGAGGGAAUCGAAUAGACAAAAAUGACUCCACAUGAUAAAAGGGACUUCACAAAGAAAAAAAAGUUUCACAAAAUCUCUCUGCAAGUUUAAGAAAUGACAGAAUCACUACACACACGAUCUUCACCUUUCAAAGAGUUCUUUCAGGAACAAGCCACUUAUAACUCUUGAUUAAUCUCUAAAAUUAAAGAAACAUUUUCAUCAUGGUCUUCCAAAUUAUGAUCAAGGUAAAAGAAUUAGAGGGAUAUAUACUUUUGUAAAAGAAUAUUAUCAUAAAAAUUGUGCCCCAUGAUUUAAUAAUUUUAAUAAAAUUUUUAUUUUACAUUAUUUUUCUUAUUGUUUUGCUUACAUUGCAAGACUUUACAAAAUUUGUGUAUACACUCAUAAUGAAAUACUUUUUUUCUUUAAAUACCAAAAUUUGAUAUCUCUUCUUCUUUUUUCAUUUUUACUUUAUAGUUUCUUGUAACUUAACAAUUUAUAAUAAUGAUGAUAAUAAUAACAACGACAUUAAUUAAUAAUACCAAUAACAGUAAUAGUAAUGAUAGUCAUCAUUUUGUAAGAGAGAAAUCCUCCUAAUUUCUUUUUAAAAUUUUAACACACUAUUUCUCAAGUUUCCAUUCUAAUCAAUCAAAUUUUGUAAGAUUUUUAUUGACACAAUGAAUCUAUUGUCCAAGGUGUACAAUAAGAAUGGGAAAAAAAAACAAAUUGAAUAAUUACACAACAACGUGGUGAAGAUAAUAAAUUUUUUGAGUUUAUUUUUAAAAAUCCCACCUUAUUUAUUUUCCAAAGUAUUUAAAAUUUUGUACAAAAUAAAAUUAUUUGAUCAUGUACAAGAAGAGCACUAAAAAAUAUUGGUGGGAGUGUGAAAAUAGUAUCAUCCAACCCAAACACCAAAUGACAUACAAGUGAUGCUUAUUAAGUCAUAUUUAAAAAAAAAAAAAAACAAUACUAUUUAAAUUGAAUAAUUUAGGUGAACUAUGAAGACAAGUACGACAUUAAUGCUCCUCAUUUUAUUGAAAUAUAAUAUAUCAUUAACACUUUCGAAUAAGGAUGUAAAUAUUUGGCAUGUUAGUCAAAACCUAGUAUUGUCUAUCUAACCGCGAUCCAAUCCCUUUGGGAUUGGACUUGGGCUUAUUUUUAAAGUUCGACUAUAGCCUAUGAGUUGGGCCUCCAGAGUCGACUUCCUGCCCCUGUAUCAAGAGUUCAAGGUCUCAAGACCAUAAUGUCACGAGUCAUGGCACAGUCAAUUUCGGCCAUAAUAGUAUUUUUUUUUUCUUCUUUUUCUUUUGGUUUUUUUUUUUCAUACUAGGGAGCUGAUGAUAUAUUGAACUUUUUUGCAUUUAUGCAUUUUCAAAUCUACUUAUAAGAUUGGCUCCUAUAUUAAAUUGUCGAUAUUAUCCCUAAACAUAAGUUUCUUAUAAGAAACUUUCAAAAAAAAAAAAAUUGAACCACCAUUUUAAAGUUUAUAGGCUUCAAGAGGGGCUAAUUUCAUUAACAAUGCCCUAUGAGAUUUAGUGUAAAUAUACUAAGUUGCUAUAGAUUUUAAAUUUUAUUAAUUAACAACAUUAUAAAUGUAUUUUAUAUAUAAAAUUUAUUUUUUUAGAGAAUAAAAUUUAUUUUUAAGAGAAUUGUUAAACAUAUCUACUUAUUUUAUUUUAUUUUUUUAAUAAAAAAAUCUUUCUAAAAAAUAUGUUUUAUAAAUAUAAUAAAUUUAUAAUAUGCUAAUCAAUAAAAUUUGAAUCUAAUAGUAGUUAAAUGUAUUUACAACAAAUCUCAAGAGAUCUCGAUUAAAUUAACUCUAAAAAAUAAAUAUGAUUUAAAUAUGUUUUAAAAAGAAAAAAAAUGAAUGAACAUAAAAUAUAAACCCUCCAUCAUUGAUAUGGAGGACAAAAAUUUAGAAGAAAAUUGUUUCAUCAUUAUUGGAUGAAAAAAACGUAAAGAAAAAAAAAAGGUAAAAGAGAAAAAUGGAAUGUGAAAAAUGAUAUAAAUUUAUUAAUUUCAUGAACACUUAGUUAUUUUUUAAAAUUCAUAAAAAGUAUUAAAAUAAGGAUAUUUUGGCUAUUACGUUUUAAAAAUAGUAUAUAAAAUAAAAUACAUUUUAGUCCUUUUGUUUUGAAAAGAAAAAUAACAAUGAAAUUGUUUUUCAAAUAUUUCCAUUCUAGUAUGCCUUCUCCCAACUUUUCCAAAAAUACAUAUGUAGAGACAGAAUUUUUAUCUCCUAUAUUAAAAAUAUUUAAAUUAGGAAGGUUUUUUAGAUAGGAAAUAAAAUCAGAUCAUAUGUGAUGAAUAAUUGAAUAUAAAUUGUUUUUUUUAUAGUUUUUUUAUUUAAUGUUUCAUUAAUUUGAACUCUUAACUAAACAUAUAUAUUUAAGUUUAUUUUUAUUUUUAUAAUAAUAAGUAUUAAAGAUUAUAAAUUAAAAAAUGUAGUAAUUUUUAAAUUAUAAAUAAUAAUAUAUAUAAUGUUUUUAUGUAAAUAAAAUUUAAUAUUAUCUUUUUAUUUUAUUUUAAAUAUGUCUUCAGACUUGAAUAUUAUAUAUGUUUUUAAAUAUUAAUACAUUUAUAUUUGAACUUGUCCUUGUUUCAUUUGAUGAUGUCAAAUAUAAAAAAUGAAAUAUUAUUAAAAUUUGAAUUAUAUAUAUAUUUUUAAUUUUAAUUUUUUAUAAUAUAUAAAUUAUAUAUUUAUGAUGCUACUGGUUUGACAUGGUUCAACUAUGGCUCCAAUUUGUGAAUCAUCGACUGAUAAUUUUUUCUAUUUAAUGACCGAUCUAAUUAUGAAAACAUUGAUUUGAUGUAUUAGAACAACUUUAAUAUUUAAAGUAAAAAUUAAAUAAUAAGUUUCAAGUCAACAACCUAAUUAAGAAUAAUUUAAGUUAAAACUAAUUUAAGUCAUUAAAUAAUAAGUAUCAAGUUUUACUAGUUAUUAUCUAAAUUUUUAAAAGUGAUUUUAAAGAAUUUGUAAAACACUUAAUUUCUCUGAUAAAACACUUUUUAUGUAUAAUAUAUGAUGCACUUUUAACUUUCUCAAAAUCAUUUUCAAACAUACUUAUACAAAAAUUUAUAGUGAUUUUUAGAUAUAUAAUUUUUGUGAGUUCGUCAUUGUUUAAUUUCAAUCGACUCAUCUAAGUUUUCUUCUUGGUCUUUUACGCAAACAUGGUGCAGAUUGGAAAAUUAUAUGUAUAAAUCCAUCAUUGAUCUCAACAUCAAUAUUUUUUUCUUCAAUUUAUUUGAUUGGAAGCUUCCCCAAGUUGUUAAUGGAUUUCAAUUGGAUGCUCUUAGAAAUUAAAUCACAAAUCAUCAAUUGAACUAGACAUUAUUAUUAAUAUAUAUUAGAGACUUUAGCUGUAGACUAGAAAAUAGUUGCUUGACUUAGUGUGUGUUUAAGGGAAGAGCUCUCUUGGACACCAACCAAUAUUUAUCUAUUAUGAAAGCGUGCAGUAAUAAAGAGCCUUGGAAAAUAUUGCCUCGAAAGAUAUGAUUACAUUCACAAUUUUUUCCACCAUAGUAAAAGUCUCAUAUUUUGGCUAUGAACCUUUAUAAAAUUUAUUAUUAAAAGCAAACAACACGCAACUUAGUUGAACCAAUAUUUAUAUAUUAUAAAAGUGUGCAGUAAUAAAGAGCCUUGGAAAAUAUUGCCUCGAAAGAUAUGAUUACAUUUACAAUUUUUUCCACCAUAGUAAAAGUCUCAUAUUUUGGCUAUGAACCUUUAUAAAAUUUAUUAUUAAAAGUAAACAACACGCAACUUAGUUGAACCAAUAUUUAUAUAUUAUAAAAGUGUGCAGUAAUAAAGAGCCUUGGAAAAUAUUGCCUCAAAAAAUAUGAUUACAUUCACAAUUUUUUCCACCAUAGUAAAAGUCUCAUAUUUUGGCUAUGAACCUUUAUAAAAUUUAUUAUUAAAAGUAAACAACACGCAACUUAGUUGAAUAAUGGUUAAUGGCUAUGUUUGUUUCUCGAAAAACUUGGGAGAAAAUGUAAGGGAAAGAAAAAAAAAAAAAAGUAAAAAAAAAAAAAAUUAAAAUCAAUAAUUUAUUUUUAUUUGUUACUUUGAACUUAUUUACUUAUUUUAACCCAUCGAUAUACAUAUUAAGUAAUUUGAAAAAUACAUAAGAUUUUUACUAGUUUUAAUUAUAUUUGAUUUUCUUUAAUAUUUUCUAUAUCACAACAAAAUAUGAGAAAAUAAUUUUUCAUAGUAUUUUUUUCUUUCCUUAUUAUUUUCCAAGAACCAAAUAUAACCUAAAUUAUUUAGAAACGGUUUUUCAAAGGUUCUUGAAAAAUUUUACAUUUGCAUUUUGAUUUAUAAUGUUUAAAAAUCUUAUAUUAGACUAUAAAUUCUUUUAAAAAUAUGCUAUUAGGAGUAAAGGAAACAAGAACCUUAUAUCAGUAAUGCAGAAAACAAAAAUUUAGAAAAAAAAUUUCUACCUUUACCUUUUGAAACUAGAGAAACUAUAUUUGUUUUAAUUAUAACAAAUAAUCCAAAAAUAGUUUGAUUGAAAAAAAAGGUAAAAGAGAAAAAAAUUAUUAUUAUCAUUAAUAUUUGAAAUUAUCAAAUGUUUUAUUUGUGGGAUAAAAAAUUUCAUUUUUUGUCUAUUAUGUAUUUAUGUUUAUAUUAAAUUUGUUUUCAUUAGUUAUUUUAUAUAUAUUAUUAUUUUGUGUUUAAUGGGAUAAUAUUUAUUUUUUGUCUAUUAUCCAUUUAUGCUUAUAUUAAUUUUUUUUAAUAUAUUAUUAUUUUGUGUUUAAUGGGAUAAUAUUUUUUUUUGUCUAUUAUCCAUUUAUGCUUAUAUUAAUUUUUUUAAUGUAUUAUUAUUUUAUAUAUUAUCAUUUUUUAUUUAAUGUGUCUAAAAAUUAUUAAACAAAUAUGAACACAUGAAAGAGUGAAAAAUUUUAAAUUUAAAAGAUGUUACAAGAGAAAGUGUAGUGAGAGUAUAAAAUAAAUAAGUGUCAAAGACUUAGAUAAGUUAACAUGGAAGAGAAAGGGAAAAAAAAAUUUGACUAAUUGUGUCAAAAACCCCAUAAAGGUUUUUGUGUGAAUCUCAUUCAUUUCAUUUCAUUUCUCCUAUCAUCCUUUAUAAUUUCCUUUUUCAUGUAAACACCGUAAAAGCUUACCCAAGUUGCAAUUAAUUAAAAAAUAUUGCCCUUUCACAUUUUUGUGUUCUCACCUAGUCCACAAAGACAAUCUCAGUGAGUGUCAAUGUUCACAUUGCUUUUAUUGCAAUUCACUUAGUGGUGACAAAGAAAUUUCAUUCAUGGUGGUCUACCCACUAAAUUAAAAUGAUUGAGAUUUGUUUUACCUAAUAGCGUGUGGUUUUUCAAAGAUUCUUAGAGAAUUUUAUCCCAUUCUCAUUUUGAGCAUGUCAUUUUGGUUUUGUCAAACUUUUAUCUAGUUUCAUAAUGAGUCAACAAAUUCAUAAUGCGUAAAUCACACGUAAUUUAAUCUGUUGACUCAUUAUGAAUAUUUUAUUUAACCUUUAAAUUUUCUUUUAGUGAUCAUUUGUGUAUGUGAAGGGUCAUUCUUUUCAUUUUUCAUUUUGUUUGACUUCUCAAAUCUCAUUUUCAUGUAAAACUUUGCAGGAUUUUCCAAAGGCCCUUGAAAAAUAUUGUCUCAUUCCUUAUGAAAUCUUCUAAAAAUCCAUUAUUAUGAAUAAAUAAAGUAUAAGCUUAAUUGAGUGAUCACAUUAUUUAGAACUUGUUUAGGAUUGAUUUUAGAUAAAACAUUCUUAAUUGAUAGUAGUUUUUGUAAUUAGUGUAUUUUCAGUGAUUAUCCAUGAAUCACUCAUGCUGAUUAGCUAAAAUUUUAAAAUUGGUCUUGAAGAAUUUAUCAAACACCUAAUUUCUCUAAGGAAACACUUUCACGUAAUAUAUGAAACAAUUUUAGUUAGUCUUCUCAAGAUCAUUAUCAAACCUAGCUGCUUUUAAAAAAUUUUACAAAUAAUUUUUUUUUUAUGAUUUAUUAUUCUUUAAGUUGGGUUGAUUCUUCUAAGUCUUCUUCUUAGUCUUUUACGUAAAUAUGGUGUAGCUUGGAAAAUGCAAUGAACGAAUCCACAAUUGAUCAACGUUAAUGCUUUUUGUAUUCAAAGUAUUUGAUGGGAAAACCUACCAAACGUGGAAUAUGGGCUGUAGUUGUUGAAUGGAUUUCAAUUGCAUGUUGGAAAUUAUGCCAUAGUCCGUGUUUUUUGUGUUAAUUUAUACUUGAAAGAAGGUUUAUAAUGGGCUGUGGUUGUUCAAUAUUUAUAUUUGCAUUAUAAAAGUGUGUGGUAAGGUUUAAUUAAUUGCAGUGAAUUAAAGAUGGUGUCCUCCGUUAUUAUUUCUACAGCAGUGGUAAUAGUUACCAGUACCAUGAUGAUGAUGUUAUUCUCCCUUGCCAAAGCAAUAUCAUCACCAUCUUCAUCAACUGAUGAGGCAGAGGCUCUGCGCAGCACCGGUUGGUGGAAUUCUACCUCUGCUCAUUGCCACUGGGAUGGUGUAUAUUGCAAUAAUGCCGGAAGAGUGACUGGAAUCGCCCUUAACGGUUCAGGAAAAGAAUUGGGUGAGCUUAGCAAAUUGGAGUUUUCUUCAUUUCCCAGCCUGGUUGAGCUCAACCUUUGUGCCUGUGGACUCAAUGGUAGCAUCCCGCACCAAAUAGGUACUCUUACUCAACUCACUGUUCUUUCUCUCCAUGAUAACAAUCUUACAGGUGAGAUACCUCUGUCCUUGGCUAACCUCACUCAGUUGCUCUACCUCACCCUUUGUUCUAAUCCACUACAUGGUUCGAUUCCUCCUGAAAUUGGGAAAAUGAAGAAUCUGAUUUUUUUGGAUUUGGGUUAUAGUAACCUUAUUGGUGUCAUCCCUUCAUCUUUUGGUAAUCUUACCACUUUGACUACUCUCUAUCUUGAUGGUAAUCAAAUAAGUGGUUUAAUCCCUCCUCAAAUUGGGAAAAUGAAGAAUCUGAAGUCGCUUUUACUUUCUCAUAAUGGACUACAUGGUCCAAUUCCUCCCGAAAUUGGGGGAAUGAAGAAUCUGAAUAAGUUGAAUUUAGGUUAUAACAACCUUACUGGUGUCAUCCCUUCAUCUUUUGGUAAUCUUACCAAUAUGAAUUCUCUUUCUUUUCGAGGUAAUCAAAUCAGUGGUUUUAUUCCUCUUGAAAUUUGGUAUCUUUUGAAUUUAUCAUAUUUAGAUCUCAGUGAGAAUCAAAUCAGUGGUUUCAUCCCCGAAGAAAUAGUAAAUUUGAAGAAAUUGAGUCAUCUAGACAUGAGUAAUAACUUAAUAAGUGGAAAGAUACCUUCACAGUUGGGAAAUUUGAAAGAAGUAAAAUACUUCAAUCUCUCCCACAAUAACCUCUCUGGCACCAUUCCUUAUUCUAUUUCUAGUAACUACAACAAAUGGACAUUGAUUGAUUUAUCAAACAAUCGGUUGGAGGGUCAAACUAGAGCUCCGGUAGAGGCAUUUGGCCACAACAAAGGUCUAUGUGGUGAAAUCAAAGGUCGGCCACGAUGCAAGAAAAGGCACCAAAUCACACUCAUCAUUGUUGUUUCUUUAUCUACAACCUUGUUGCUUUCAAUUGCAAUCCUUGGUUUUCUCUUCCAUAAACGAAGGAUCAGAAAAAAUCAAUUACUCGAGACAACAAAGGUGAAAAAUGGAGAUCUAUUUUCCAUAUGGGACUAUGAUGGUGUGAUUGCUUAUCAAGACAUCAUCCAAGCAACCGAAGAUUUUGACAUCAAAUACUGCAUAGGCACGGGAGGCUAUGGGAGCGUUUACAGAGCACAACUACCUUCCGGGAAGGUGGUUGCCUUGAAAAAACUUCAUGGAUGGGAAAGAGGGGAUCCAACUUACUUGAAAAGCUUUGAAAAUGAAGUUCAAAUGCUAACAAGAAUACGACAUCGUAAUAUUGUGAAACUUCAUGGCUUUUGUCUACAUAAGAGAUGCAUGUUUCUAGUUUACAAAUAUAUGGAGAAAGGAAGCUUGUAUUGUAUGCUAAGGGAUGAAGUUGAGGCUGUGGAAUUGGAUUGGAUUAAGAGGGUGAAUGUUGUUAAAAGCAUUGCUAAUGCUUUAUCCUACAUGCAUCAUGACUGCGACUUGCCCAUCAUUCAUCGAGACAUAUCAAGUAAUAACAUUCUUUUGGACUCUAAGCUUGAAGCUUUUGUUUCGGAUUUUGGCACUGCAAGAUUGUUAGAUAAUGAUUCAUCCAAUCGAACCCUUCUUGUAGGCACUUAUGGUUAUAUUGCACCAGGUAAGCUAGAUUAUAAUCUUCACUAGUUUUCAUUACUUAUGAAUCUUUUCAAUUGUCACACCCUUACAAAAUUCCAAAAGUUUUUUAGAUCGAGAAUUCAAAAUAUUUUAUAAGUUUUCUCUAUAUAAAUAACAUGAAUACUCUUUUUUUUUCUAUAUUUUGCAGAGCUUGCUUAUACUAUGGUUGUGACUGAAAAAUGUGACAUUUAUAGCUUUGGGAUGGUUGCAUUGGAGACAAUGAUGGGAAUGCAUCCAGGAGAAUUUGUCACCUCAUUAUCAUCUUCAUCAACUCAAAACACAACGUUAAAGGAUGUAUUAGAUUCACGUCUUUCAUCUCCUAAAAGUACACAAGUUGCUAAUAACAUAGCUCUUAUAGUGUCAUUGGCGCUCAAAUGUCUCCAUUCUAAUCCACAAUUUCGUCCAUCCAUGCAAGAAGUGUCUUCGAAACUUGUUUCUACAAGGUCAUUCCCACAACCCAUCAGUACAAUAUCACUUUUGCAACUAAAAGAUGAAGUUAUUUAAAUGGCAUGGAGUUGGUAUGUAAUUGGAGUGAAGAUGUUUAUUUUCCAUUUUUCUUUUUCAUGGUAAUGAGAAUUUUAUAAUAUAUGUAUCCCUUCUUUCCUAUUAAUUACUCAAAUGCAAAUUUUCUAUUUGUUUUUCCAAAGCGGCAAUAGUGUAAUGUGAUACUAAGAAUUACAUCAAAUUGAUACACAAUGAUCUAUAAACUUUUAAUGAACCAUGUCAUUCCGAUUAAUAAUUUUUUAUAAUGAUUCUUUUUUGGAGAAAAAUCCUUCUUUUUCUUUUAUCAAUUUUAACAUAUAUACCAUUUUCUCCAUUUUCAUAUUCUAAUCAAUCAAAUUAGUGACAUUUCUUGUAAAUGUGACAAACCUAUUGUCAAAGGCAUUAAAAAAAUUAGGGAAAAAACAAAUUGAAUAAUUUCAAUGUGAUUGUCUCUACAUGAUGAAGAUAAUAAAUUUAUUUUAUUUAUUUUUAAAAUACUGUUUUAUCCAUUUUUCCUAUAUCAUCUAAAAUUUUGUCUAAAAUAAAAUUAUUUGAUUUUGUAUAAGAAUACUUAAAAAUGUCGGUGGGAAUGUGGGAUACUAGGCUGACACUAAAACACCAAAUGACAUACUUGUGAUACAAUAUUAAGAAAUUAUUUCAUAAUAUUUUAUAAUUUGUUUCUACUAUUUAGUCACCCAUAAAUAUCAAUUUUAAAAAAAUUUAAUGAUUAAAGAAAAUUAAGUGAGAUAUAAUUAAAUAACUCUAAAAAUUUUAUUUUCCCAUCAUGGAAUAACAGAAUUGAUAUUCAUACUAAUGAUUUUAUUAAGAUAAGAUACCUAGUCGAUAAAAUGUCCUUGAUUUUAUAUAAAAUUAGACAUUAUAUUUACUUAAAUUAUUUUCAUAAUAGUAGCAUAUUUGUUAAAUAUAUGAAACUAUUCAAAUUGAAUAAUUUAGGUAAACUAUGAAUAUUAUAAGUACGCCAUUAAUGCUCCUCGUUUUAAAAGAAGCAAUAUUUCAGUUUCAUAUCUAAAGUUUUUUUUUCCAACUCCAAUUGGUGUAUAUAGACCCGAUUUUGUAGUGAAGCUUGGCAGCUAGUAGGAUUUCCUUCACAGAAAAGAAUGGACAGAUGAAAUAAACAGAAACCAAACCAAGAGAUGAGUGUGGUGUAUUCUCAUUCCUUGGCUAGAAUCCCCACAUCACAGGUACUGCCUGUUAGCUUUUUUCUUAUAAUGUGUGGCCAUAUACAAUUAUAUUUGUAUGAAUAUUAUUUAAGGGUAUCAAUUGAUAGGUUGGUGAAUCAAUUGAUUGGGCAUCCAAGAGUCUUAUGUAUGGAAGAUUCAAAUUUAUAAAUGGGGAGUUAGAAAAUUUAACUCAUAUGAAUGUGGUGUUACAACUUUUGUAACCCCAUCAUUAUGAAAUUUAUUUGUACAUUAUGUUUAUGAGUAAUGGAGGAAAAUGGAAAAGUAUAACCUAUGCAAUUAUAUAGAUGCAUUCAAGUUCAUAACCCACCAUUACCCAUUGAUUUGUACAUAAUGGGUGUAAAUAAUGAGUAUAACUCUCAUAUAGUCUUUGAUGGGAAGACUAAGAGAUGUACAAUUUUUUUUAUAAGUUCAAGUCCCAAGCCACACUCUCAUUCUUAUAUCAUUUUUGUUAUUUAUUUUUAACAACAUACACCAUACAAAUGACUCAUCCACUAUAUGAGAGUAGUGAGUUGAAGACCUUGACAAUAUAAUUCACAAGGUGACUUAAUCUCACUUCAUGGUUCAAGGUAAGAAUAUGAUCAUUAUUUUAGUAUUUACAUUUAUUUUGUUUUAUGCAUCCAAAAUUGUUUUUUAAAAUAAUUAUUUCCGCAUAAAGUUUAUAAAAGUUUGGUUAACAAUUGGUAUCAGAGCCAACCAAUUUUGGAUCAUAAAACAUAUUUUUCCGUUUUUUGAUUAUUGUUUGAUCUUAUGGACAACUAAAAUAUAUAUGAUGUGAUGCAUAUGAAUGAUGUAGUAACACAACAUUUUCAAUGUUUCAUGAUUUCAAUCAUAUCUAUUGCAUGAUUUUAUGAAAGUUGAAAACAUAUGAUUAGUAAUUUAAAUGUGUGAUUAUGGAAAUCUCAAGAAAUAGUUUUUCUAGUAUGCAUGUUUAUUUACUUGUUUGUUUGAAGAUGAUCAUAUAUAUAUAUAUAUAUAUGUGUGUGUGUGUGUGUGUGUGUGUGUGUGUUGUUCAACUUAUGAAACAAGUGUUGAUCAACCCAACGGAGGAUCAUCACCAUGUUUGAUUAUAUGAAAAGAGUUUAAUAAUAAAAAGUUGAUGAAGUUUUUACCCAACGGUAUUAAACUUCUUUACGUUUCAAUACUUUUAUUUUAAUAAUUAUGUCAUAUCUAUAUGAUUUAUGAAUUAUUAUAAUUCAACCCAACGGAGGGAUUAUAAUAAUGUACUUUUGAAUUAUAUGAUUGUAGUUCGGUCCAACGAAAGAACUAUGAUAUAAUCUCUUAUGUUUAUAAUUAAUGUGAUAUCUAACUUAAUUUUUGUUGUAAUUAGAUUAUUGUAAAGUGUGGUGUUAAAUAUUGUCAUGAUAUAAAAUAAUUUUCCUUUUGAAUUAAUCCUAUUGCUAUUAUAGGCUAUUUGUCUGGUAUUGAACAAUUAAGUGGGGCAAAUUUUAAAAAAUGGAAGGAACAAAUUGGAAUUAUUCUUGGUUGCAUGGAUUUGGACUAUGCCUUAAGAGAACCUACACCCACAAAGCCUACUUCUGAAAGGACUAAUGAACAAAAGGUUUUAUAUGAAAAGUGGGAGCGCUCUAAUCGCAUGAGUCUAAUGAUUAUGAAAGGUUCAAUCACUCCUGCAAUUCGUGGAGCAAUCCCGGAUUCAGAUAAUGCAAUAACCUAUAUUAAAUCAGUUGAAAAACAAUUCUUAGGAACUUCCAAGUCCUUGGCAAGUACUCUUAUGAUCAAAAUGAUAACAAUGAAAUAUGAUGGUCAUAGUGGUGUACGUGAGCACAUCAUGAAGAUGAGUGACAUGGCUUCUCAAUUGAAAGGAAUGGACAUGACAAUUUCUGAAGGUUUUCUUGUUCACUUCAUAAUGACUUCCCUUUCUUCACAAUUUGGUCAUUUCAAAAUUAAUUAUAAUACUCAGAAGGAUAAGUGGAAAAUGAGUGAACUAAUUGCCAUGUGUGUUCAAGAAGAAGAGAGGCUUAAAGUGGAAAAGCCCGAUAUGGCUCACCUCACCAUUGGUCCAAAUAAAAAAUCCUUCAAGAAAGGUAAAGGUAAGAAAAAUAAGCAAGGUAAUGAUGUAUCUCACAAUGGGCAAAAGUAUGAAAAUAAGAUACAAUGUUAUUUUUUCCACAAGAAAGGUCACAAAAGAAGAGAUUGUUCUGGCUUUAAGCCUUGGUUGGAAAAGAAAGGUAAAACUCAAUGCUUAGUGUCUUAUGAAUCUUAUUUAGUUGAUAUACCACCAAACUCUUGGUGGAUUGACACUGAUGCAAGCAUUCACAUAACGAAUUCAUUGCAGGGAUACCUUACAAGCAAGAUACUAAGUAAAGGAGAGCGAACCAUUACUUUGGGAAAUGGAACAGAAGUGGAAAUUGAGGCUAUUGACACUCUUUGUUUAAUUUUGGAUACUGGUUUCAUUAUGGAUUUAGUAGAUAUAGUUUAUAUUCCUGUUUUUAUUAGAAACCUAAUUUCAGUUCCAAGACUUGAUUCUUAUGGUUAUGAAUUAAAGUUUGGAAAUAAUGGAGUUUCCUUGUUCUAUAAUUCUUGUUUGGUUGGCUCUGGCACUUUACAUGGUAAUCUUUAUUCAUUGAAUUUAGAUUGCAAAUAUUCACAGUCUCUUUUAUCUUAUCAUGUGUAUGAAUUCUCUAAAAAACGAAAUCAAGUGAAUGAAAAUUCAUCCAUAUUGUGGCAUAAGCGAUUGGGUCACAUUUCAAGAGAAAGGAUGGAACAUCUUAUUAAAGAUGAAAUUUUGACUUCACCUGAUUUUUCUGAUUUUACUAAUUGUGUUGAAUGCAUAAAGGGAAAACACACUAAGGUUAAGAAAAAGGGUGCCUCAAGGGCUACUAAAUUGUUAGAAUGUAUUCAUUAUGACAUUUGGGGACCUUAUUCAAUUCCAACUAUCAAUGGACAUAAGUACUUUAUUAGUUUUAUUGAUGACUUUUCAAGGUAUUCUUAUGUGUAUCUUAUUCGUGAAAAAUCUGAAGCAUUAGAUGUUUUUAAGAUUUAUAAAGCUGAGGUUGAAAAUCAACUCAAUCGGCGAAUUAUAAGUGUAAGAUCUGAUAGAUGUGGUGAAUAUUAUGGUAGGUUCACCAAAUCAGGUCAACAUCUUAGUGCUUUUGCCUUAUUUUUAAGAGAGCAUGGUAUCAUUGCAAACUACACAAUGCCUGGAACACCAGAGCAAAAUGGUGUAGCAGAGCGACAAAAUCGUACUCUAAUUGACAUGGUGAGAAGUAUGAUGAGUGACUCAACCUUGCCUGAAUUUUUGUGGGGUGAAGCAUUGAAAACUGCUGUUCACAUUCUCAAUCGUGUUUUUAGUAAGGUUGUACCCAAAACUCCUUAUGAGUUAUGGGUGGGUAGGAAACCGAAUUUGAAUUAUUUACAUGUAUGGGGAUGUCCAGUUCAAGCUAAAAUUUUUAACCCACAAAUCAAGAAAUUGGAUUCUAAAACCAUAAGUUGCAAUUUCAUUGGCUAUCCUGAAAGAUCAAAAGGUUUUAGAUUUUAUUGUCAUGGUCAGGGCCCUAAAAUUUUUGAAACUAGACAUGCUGUGUUUUUGGAAAAUGAAUAUUUUAGUGGGAGAACUGAGCUUAAAAAGUUAACCUCUAAUGAAGUAUCAACACCAAUGAUGGAAUAUGGUGUGACUCAAGAGGUUUCUUGUAAUGAAAAUGAGAAUGUCCCAACUACAGAAGCAUCUUUACGUAGAUCACAAAGAGAGAAAAAACCUGCUAUAUCAAAUGACUAUGAAGUUUAUCUUAAUGAGUGUGAUUAUGACGUUGGCUUGGAAAGUGAUCCUACUUCUUAUGAUCAAGCCAUCAAUAGUGAAAAUUCAACUCUAUGGCUUUAUGCUAUGGAAGAAGAGUUGAAAUCAAUGAAAGAUAAUGAAGUUUGGGAUCUUGUAAAAUUGCCUAAAGGAGAUAAAACUAUUGGUUGCAAAUGGAUUUUUAAAACCAAACAUGAUUUUAAGGGCAAUGUCGAAAAAUACAAGGCUAGGUUAGUUGCAAAAGGAUACACUCAAAAAGAAGGAAUCGACUAUAAGGAAGCAUUUUCUCCUGUUUCCAAGAAAGAUUCCUUAAGAAUAGUCAUGACUUUAGUAGCUCAUGUUGACUUAGAGUUACAUCAAAUGGACGUUAAAAUUGCAUUUUUGAAUAGUGACUUGCAUGAAGAGGUUUAUAUGGAUCAACCCGGGGGUUUUUAGGAUAAAAGCAAGGAACAUAUGGUAUGUAAACUUAAAAAGUCCAUAUAUGGUCUAAAACAGGCUUCUAGAUAAUGGUAUCUUAAGUUCCAUGAAAUUCUCAUCACUUUUGGUUUCAAAGAGAAUCUAGUGGAUCAAUGUAUAUACCUUAAGAUCAGUGGAAGCAAAAUUUGUAUUAUUGUAUUGUAUGUUGAUGAUAUGUUGCUUGCUAGCAACAAUAUGAGAAUGAUUUUGGAGACCAAACAAUUUUUAUCCAAGAAUUUUUAUAUGAAAGAUCUUGGUGAAGCAUCCUAUGUGAUGGAAAUUGAAAUUCAUCGAGAUAGGUCACGUGGAUUAUUAGGAUUAUCCCAAAAGAACUAUAUUGAAAAAUUUCUUAAAAGAUUCAACAUGCAAAAUUGUUUUAGUAGUGUUGCUCCUGUUGUGAAAGGGGACAUAUUUUGUGAACUUCAAUGUCCCAAAAAUGAUCUUGAAAAGAAACAAAUGGAAAAAAUUCCUUAUGCUUCAGCAGUAGGAUGUAUCAUGUAUGCUCAAGUCUACACUCAACUAGACAUAGCUUAUGUGGUAGGCAUGCUUGGUCGAUACCAAAGUAAUCCAGGUAUUGAUCAUUGGAAAGCAGUUAAAAAAAAGUAUUGCGUUAUUUGCAAGGGACUAAGGACUACAUGCUUACAUACAAAAGAACAGAUAAUCUAGAGAUUAUUGGUUAUUCUGAUUCUGAUUAUGCUGGCUGUAAGGAUACUAGAAAGUUUACAUCUGGGUAUAUUUUAUCAAAUGGACCUAUUUCAUGGAAAGGUCGUAAGCAAUCAUUGAUAGCUUCUUCUACAAUGGAGGCAGAAUAUGUAGCAUGUUAUGAAGCCACAUGUCAUGUAAUAUGGUUGAGAAACUUUGUCUCAGGGCUUCAUAUUAUUGAUUCAAUAAUGAGACCAUUGAGAAUAUAUUGUGAUAAUAGUGGUGCUGUCCGAUUCUCUAAAAAUAAUAAGACUACUGGAGGAUCAAAGCACAUUGAUAUUAAGUAUUUGGUUGUAAGGGAGAAAGUUCAACAUAGAGUUGUCUCUAUUGAACAUAUUAAAAAUACACUCAUGUUGGCAAAUCCAUUGACAAAAGGUCUUCCACCUAAGCUUUUUAUGGAUUAUGUUGCAUGCAUGGGCUUGGUGGCAAGUUUGUCAAUUUUAGAUUGAUUGAAAGUGUAAUGUAUGUGAUCACAUUAUAAUGAGAAUAAAGUUCUUGAUUAUGAUAUAUUGAUGAUUAUUAUGUUACUUUUAUACAUCAUUUUUGUGCACAAUCUAGAUGUUUAAAAGUUGAUGAGACCAUUAUGUGAAUGAAUUAGCAUUAUCACCUUAAUGUUGCUAAUGUCAUAAAAGUCAUUGAUUCAUGUUAAUGGAGGUGUUAGUACUAUAAUCCUUGAAGAAUAUUGGAUCGUUGUAUGAUCCAAUCAUUUCAAUGAUUUGGUGUUAGUGGUUCCAUGAAACAUAAUCUUAAAGUAAAGGAUGCCUAUUUUGAGAAAUUGUUAUGGCCAUAUUAUGUUUUAAUCUAUUACAAAUAUAAUUAUGUGGGCCAAGUGGGGGAUUGUUAGUUUUUUUCCCAUAAUGUGUGGCCAUAUACAAUUAUAUUUGUAUGAAUAUUAUUUAAGGGUAUCAAUUGAUAGGUUGGUGAAUCAAUUAAUUGGGCAUCCAAGAGUCUUAUGUAUGGAAAACUCAAAUUUAUAAAUGGGGAGUUAGAAAAUUUAACUCCUAUGAAUGUGGUGUUACAACUAUUGUAACCCUAUCAUUAUGAAAUUUAUUUGUACAUUAUGUUUAUGAGUAAUAGAGGAAAAUGGAAAAGUAUAACCUAUGCAAUUAUAUAGAUGCAUUCAAGUUCAUAACCUACCAUUACCCAUUAAUUUGUACAUAAUGGGUGUAAAUAAUGAGUAUAACUCCCAUAUAGUCUUUGAUGGGAAGACUAAGAGAUGUACAAUUUUUUUUAUAAGUUGAGGUUUCAAGCCACAUUCUCAUUCUUAUGUCAUUUUUUGUUGUUUAUUUUUAACAACAUACACCAUACAAGUGACCCAUCCACUAUAUGAGAAUAGUGAGUUGAAGACCUUGACAAUACAAUUCACAAGGUGACUCAAUCUCACUUCAUGGAUCAAGGUAAGAAUAUGAUUAUUAUUUUAGUAUUUACAUUUAUUUUGUUUUAUGCAUCCAAAAUUGUUUUUUAAAAUAAUUAUUUCCGCAUAAAGUUUAUAAAAGUUUGGUUAACACUGCUCUUCUUCACUCCAAAACCAGGUUCUUUUCUCUUUUCUCUUUUCCUGCUUCUCAAUUCCCAUAAUUCUCAUUCAUCUUCAAUGCUCUUAAUCAAGUCCAAGAGUUGCAGAUUGAUUUCAUGGGAAGUCAAUUCAAUUAUGAAUGACAAUAAUAAUAGUGGCAAGAAAGGUCAAUUGUAGUUCAUUCUCGAGUCACAAGGUCAAAUAUUGCAUUGGGUUGACUCAUCUAAGUCUUCUUCUUGGUCUUUUAUGUAAACAUGGCGUAGCUUGGAAAAUUAUACUAAUAAAUCCAUCAUUGAUCUCAACAUCAAUAUUUUUUUCUUCAAAUUAUUUGAUAGGAAGCCUCCCCAACGUGGAAUAUUGAAUUUAGUUGUUUAAUGGACUUCAAUCGCAUGCUCUUUGAAAUUAAGCCCCAGUCCAUAUUUUUUGUGUGUGUUCAUAUGGUAACCUGGCCUGUUAAAGAUGUAUUUCAUUUUCUUGAAAAGAAAUAAUUAGUGCAUACAUAUUUUGAGAAGAGAAAAAUUAAGAUUCAAUAUAUUUACAUUAUUAAUUUAUUAAAUAAGUAAAUAAUUAAUUAAUCAAAUAAUUUUUCAAAAAAUUAAAUAAUUAAUUAAUCAAAUAAUUUUUCAAAAAAUUAAAUAAUUAAUUAAUCAAAUAAUUUUUAAAAAAUUAAAGAAAAUAUUUUUGUUAAUUAAAAAAAUUUAUUUAUAAAGGGUUUAGAUAGAAAACAAAAAGAGGUUUUAAAUGUAAAGUUGCAUGGAGAAGUGAAUUGUAUGGUUUGGACAAUUUCAUAAAUAAAUCCAUCAUCAUCAUUGUAAGAUGGUUUACCCUUCUCAAAAUCAUUAUCAAACCUAGGUGUUUUUAAAAAAAUUUAUAAAGAUUUAUAUAUAUAUAUAUAUAUAUAUAUAUAUAUAUAUAUAUAUAUAUAUAUAUAUAUAUAUAUAUAUAUAUAUAUAUAUAUAUAUAUUUUAUGAUUUAUCAUUCUUUAAAUUCUGUUGACUCUUCUAAGUCUAUUUAUUGGUCUUUUAGGUAAAUAUGGUGUACCUUGAAAAAUUCUAUCCAUCAUUGAUUGAGAAGAUGUAUUUCAUUUUCUUGGAAAUAAAUAGUUAGUGCAUACAUAUUUUGAACACUUAACCGAGGAGAAAUAUUAAAUUAAAAAGAAAAAUGGCACCAUGCACUUAUAAGAUUCAAUAUAUUUGUUUAUUUGUUAAAUAAGUAAAUAAUUAAUUAAUCAAAGGCUUUAAAAUAUUUUAUAGAAAAAACUUUUGUUGAUUAAAAAAUAUAUUUUUCAAGCAUCCAUCUAACGUGAAAUCAUGGGAUGCACCUUUUUUUUUUCCACGGAUUCAAUUACUCUUAGAAAAUUAUCCCUUAUUCCUUAUUUUUUGUGCUCAUAUGGUGACCUAUUGAAGAUGUAAUUUGUAUAAAAUACAAUUUUUUAGCCUUAUUUAUAUUUAUAUUUUUCUGUGAUUUAAUAUAUCCCAAUAUUAUUUUAAAACACUUAUUUUUUAUACUUUACUAUAAGUUUAGAAAAAAAAUUUAAAUUUUUUUAUACUUUACCUUGUCAUGUUACAAUGCCCUAACCUUUUCCAAAGGUGGCUUUGGAAAUUAUGGCCCCAUCCACAUUUUGAUUUGUCAUGUUUACAAGUCAUGUAUCUGGGAAUCAAUCCUUUCAAAAACCCACUAUUUGGAGUCACUUUCGGAAACCAUUCCCUUCUCCAUAUUUUUGUGUUCACAUGGUCAGUUGUUGAAGAUGUAUUUGAUUUUUCCUUUUAAAAGAAAUAAUUAGUGCAUAGACAUCUUCAACAUCUAACCAAGGAGAAAUAUUAAAUUAAAAAGCAAAAUGGGUCAACCUCAAGACCCAAGGUCCGAGGAACCCAAGCCUUAACAACCGAUGAAGGGAUGACCUCAAAACCGAAGGUUCUUGCGUACUCUUCGUACUCAAAGGAAGACCUUGACAAAGAGUCGAAGACAUAAAGUGGAAAAUGAAGGUUGACUAACUUGGCUUGCAGGGAAAUGAAGUGGCCUUAUAACAAACACGCACGAUUUCAUAUUCUCAUAAGAUUCAACGUAUUUGUUUAUUUGUUAUUUAAUUAGUUAAUUAAUAAAGUCUUUAAAAAAAAUUAAAGAAAAAACUAUGAAAAAUAUAAGGAAAAUUGGAUAAGAAGUAACCCAAUAAAAAUAUUUUAAGAAAUAUGAGUUACUUUGUAGUCUUUUAAUAAAAAAAUAAAAUACAUUUUAUUUAACAUAAGGAGAUUUAUCUCCAAAAAUUACACCACCUUUCAUUAAAUAAUUUUAUUUUAACAUAAGUUUCUAACAAAAAAACUUCCCAAGAAAAACAUCAAAUAACAUUGUAAAAUCAAUAUUGUAAGUAUGAUAUGAUUUUCCUUAGGUUUCCUCAAUAGCCUGAGAGACUAGUGAUUUGGAACCAGUUUCUAAGCUUUCUGGAGCAUCCCCAACACUUUUGUGAUCAAACUUGAAACUAUAGCACUUGGUCCCUUUGAUCAUGCCAAUCACAUUUGUUGAUCCCUGUGGCUGCUAAAUGUUUUGAGUCUCUAAAUAUCCGCUUCCUUUCCAAAACUCGAAUGAACAAAACUAAGAACUUUAAUGCAAUCACCUUUCUAAAAAAAAUAAUAAUAAUAAAAUUGAAAAAAGAAAAAAUCAACAUGCAUGUUUAAAUAAUCACUCACUUCAUCUAUGUACAUUAAUUUAUUCCCCCUUGUGUUGUGAUCUAUUCAGAACUCAUCUUCUGAAUCACUAGAAGAAGAGUUCCUGGACUUGUCUGGCAUGAAAUUUGGCGGCAAGUUUGGGAACUUCACUGGAAUUCUUGAUGGUGGUGACUUUGUUGAUGAUGGCCCCAAACUUGCUGUGGUUGUUUUCCUCCGUUGUAGAUUUCGAGCAAUAUCAACACAGACCUGAUCAACCAUACCCAGAAAAUCUUUUACUAUAAUAAAUAAUUGAAGCGGGCUUGCCUCUUUGUUCUUUGAAGAUCGUGGUUGAUAAUAUUCUGUUGUUCUCCUUAAGAGCUCCAUUACCCUUGUUUGCUCUUCUCUCACCUCCCUUAAUUCUUCGCCUGCUGCUUCGAGAAAACUUUUCAUCUUCCUCAAAAAUCCUCCAUCACUGUUGGCAAAUGGUGCCACAAAUUGCUUGAUUUCAGUGGAAUGGGCUGUGAGAGUUGAACAUACGCCACCAAAGGCAUUGUAGUCCAUUUCAGCUACUUUCUUUACAUUAGAGAAUUCAGCACUUAGGCUUCCUACCACUGGUAAACCAAUCAUUAUGUAUUCCUUUUCUCUAUCCUCUCUUGAUGCCGAGUUCUCAGAAUACAGGCUACUGUUGCUGCUGUGACUCAAGCUGCGAUUUCGGUUCAAAACACAACGUUUGCCCUCAGAACGGACUACUUCUUCCACAACAAAGUGAAGUAACGUAGUUUUUCCAUCAGUGCUUUUAACAUCAGAAAGCUUUUGAAGAGCAGCGAGGUUAAAAGCUUGGGCAUUCCCUCUGGAAGUUCCAGCAUUCAUGCGAUUGCCUGCCUCGAGUAUGGCUUCCAAAAGUUUUAAGAAAAGUCCACGAGUUCGAAGCUCUUUGCAACCCAAUUCAAGUGUUUGUAAACAUUCCCUGAGAUGGAGAAUCUCUGAGUCAUAAUUCGAUCUGAAAAACAUGGCACUAAGACGUAUGAAUGCUGAUGGAACAGCUUUUAGGAUAUGGUAGAGGAAGGAUUCAGCAUCAGCCAGUCUUGUGGGGUCUCCCUCGAAUGCAAGGAUUUGGGAUUCUUCUUCUUUAGUUGGGGCAAUUUUUGUAAGCUUUUCAAGAGCAUCUGCAUUCAGGUCUUGGCCCUUAAUGAGUGCGUUGAGGAUCUCUUUUCGCGAGAUUGCUAAAGAUCGGAGUACAAUUGCUGUGUUUUGGGACUUUCGACUAUCAAGGAUGAAAAUCUGAGCCGAUUGAAUUGAGCUGGCACCAUUUGGGUUGUUAUGGUUUAUCUGAGGAGAUCUCCCAUUAGCAGCAACAUUUCCAAACAGUGCAUCCAUGAGGUCACCAUCGAAGCUGAGAAAUCAAUUGAAAAUUUUGGAAAUCCAGUAAAAUACCAAACAGAGGUGGUUAUGUAAUUCAAGAGACCAAAUUGGUAAAAUAUUACUACCUGAAAGAACCGCCAUUAAUUUUGUGCCACACCAUUGAAUGAUCGGCGUUAGUGUUCACUUUAUCCCAAUGCAAUGGCUUCAGCGCCACCCGACCAUUUCCAGUCCCUGCCUUGCUAUAUCCAGAUGAAGACUCUCCUAGUUUACUGCCAUUAGGCAUCCCUUUGGUCACCGAUGAGGCUUCUUUUGAUGAUGAAGUAAAACCACCCGCCUUAGGUGAGGGAGGUGGUGGUGGUAUGGGAUUUAUCUUAGCUGGGAUUGGUGGUGAGGGAGGUGGUGGUGGUAUGGGAUUUAUCUUUGCUGGGAUUGGUGGUGAGGGAGAUGGUGGUGGUGGUGGUAUGGGAUUUAUCUUAGCUGGGAUUGGUGGUGAGGGAGGUGGAGUAGCACUUGGCUUCUGUGGAAUUGCCAAUAUAGGUGGUGGGGGUGGGAGAGAUGUGGAUGAUUGAAUUGUUGAUUCAGUUUUUCCCACAGCCUCAAGAGAAAUCUCAGAAGAUUGUGACGAAGGAGGGGGGGCAGAAAACCAAUUCAGAUUUUCCACUUCUUCUUGAACUUCAUCAUAGGAAGUUGAAGACUUUCCUCGUAGCAAAGGAAUUUCUUGUAUAGGCUCAGACUUCGCCCUCCCAUCUCCAUUCCGACUCAUCCUUUUUUCUUCAUGUUUCAGAUUAUGUAGAGCCUGUUUAGGGAAACUAUUCUUCCUGUAAUCACCUUCAAGCUUCUUCCAAUAAAGCACGUCCAAACCAUUCUCAUCGACAAUCAGCCCAUUUAGAUUUCCAUUGAAUCGUGAGAACUCAAUGUGACUCACCACAUUUUCACCUCCACCUCGUGGAUCAUUUUUACCUUUCUGGCUUCUCCCCCGUGCAACCGUGUACUUUUGGAACAGAAUGAAGAACAACCCGGAGACAACUAUUGUGGUGGCUGCUGUUACAGCGACUGCCUUAGCAACAGCAUAGCUUGACGAUGACUUUGAUGAUGGAAUUGAUAGUUGGGAAAUUCGAGGAUUGGGAAUUGGAUUUGUUGGAUUUGGAGGAGGCCGGAACGGAUAGAAAGUUUCAAUAUUCCGAGGGGAAUUGGGUUGACAAGAAGAUAAAUGAAGAAUAGAAAAAAGGGAGACAAAAAACAGGGAGAUGAGAGGGCAUGGCUGAAUCACAGCAGCCAUGGAGAAAAGUUGGAUACAAUUGCAGAGAGGAUUAAAACGCACUCUGCUAGUCUUUUCUUUAUUUCAGGCAAUGCUGGUUGAUGUUUUGUCUUGUGCUUUUUGGGGUUUGGUCGUUGACAGUUUCAAACAGGAGUAGUUAGUUGGACCUGUUCUCAUUUUGGUAUUUCCCGGGCUUUUGUAUUUGAAAAAUCUACGAGCCUCAAUUGAAUUUGGAGGAUUCUUUUAUGAAUCUGAGGUGAAACAAAUUCAAACUUCAUCCCAGUAUUGAUUUUGGAAUUGAGUCGGUCUGAUUUAAAGCUUAUAUAUUAAAAAUAUUUAAUUACAAAGGUUUUUUAGUCUUUUUAGACGGAAAUAAUAUGGAUUGCUUUCUUGAAGCGUAAACUUGCAGCAAGGGAAGUGAUUGUCCUAGUCAUUGUCAUUGUCAUAGACGAGUCUUUUGUAGUGCUAAAAGACACAGAGCUGGGUGGUCGGCGACGACCCCAAUAUAAGACUUGAGCCCUGUGCUAAAAGGAGUUGCUUGACUUUGUGUGCUUCCAGGAAACAUUGAUUUCCAGGAAAUUAACUCUAAAAAAUAUAAUAAAUUUAUAAGGCCUUCAUUGAUAAAAUUAAUAUUAAUAAUAAUUAAGUGUAUUUAUAAUAAAUUUCAAGAGGUUUCAAUGAAAUUAACUCUAAAAAUUGAAAUAAUUAAUAUAUUUUAAAAAAAUUUAAAUGAAAAAUAUGGAUGAAAAUAAAAUAACAUAUAAAAUAUAAACCAUCCAUCUUUGAUACAAAGGACAAAAAUUUUGGAGAAAAAUGUUUCAUCAUUCCCUUGAUAAAAAAACUUACAUUUGUUUUAACCAUAAUAAUAGAAGAAAAAAAAGGGUAAAAGAGAAAAUGGAAGGUGAAAAAUGACGCAAAUAUAUUAAUUUCAUAUAUGCAUUCUGUUAUUUUUUUAAAAUUUAUAAAAAUAUUAAAAUAAGGAUAUUUUAGUUAUUAUGUUUUAAAAAAGUAACCAUGCUCCCUAUCUAAAAUAAAAUACAUUUUAAGUUUGUUUGUUUUGAAAAACAAGUUUUUCAAAUAUUUCAAUUCUAUUGCACCACCUCCCGAUUUUUUCAAAAAUACAUACGUAGAAGAUAGAAAGAGUUUUUAUCUCAUAUAUUAAAAAUAUUUAAAUUAGGAAGGUCUUUUAGAUAGGAAAGAAAAUCAAAUUAUGUGAUGAAUAAUUGAAUAUAAAUUGUCCCUUUUCAGACGUAAACUUGGUUUGUUAGGUUAGAAGAUAGCCAGAUGGGUGGUCAGUAAGAGAAUCAUGUGGACACCUAUAUUAUAGACUGAGAUUGAAAAAGAGUUGCUAGUUUUUUUACGGGAAGAGUCUUUGAGUCAGUCUGGAACUAUCUAGGAUAGUUUUUUGUUCUCUACGAAUAAAAAAUAUAAAAAAAAGAAUGUUUGAUAAUUAAAAUUGUUUUAUGUUUUAUAUUUUUAAGAACCGAAAAGAAGAUGUUUUUAAAAAACAUCUUCUAAUUAUUUUAUAUUAUUUUUAUAUGUUUUUUUAAAGUUAUUUUAAGAAAUAAUUAUACAAAUAUGUAAAAUGAUUAAAAAUAAAAUACUAGAUAUAAAAAUUAUUUUUAAAAUAUGUUUUAAAAUAUUAAAAACAUGUUAAAAACAUUUUAGGUAUUCAAAUAGAAUUUUGUUUUACAAAAAUCAAAGAACGGUUUUUAAAAAUUGUUUUUAAAAACUAUUUUUCAAAAUUCUUUUUGAAAGCAGUUACCAAACAUACCAUUUUUUUGCAUUGAGAAGUGUUUUUGUUUUUUGAUAUUUUGUAAAACAAAAAAUUUAUUUGUUAAUUUGAAAUAUUUUUGUGUUGAAUAUGAAAUAUUUUUAACCUAUUUUUAUUUUUUCGUAUUUUUAAAUAUAUUUUAAAAACAAUUUUUGUUUGUAGUAUUUUAUUUUGAAUUAUUUUUCACAUUUAUAUAAAUAUUUUUUUAAAUAGUCAUAAAAAAUAAAUUAAAAAAAUUAAAGGAUAUUAUUUAAAAUACCUUAUGUUCUAUUUUUAAAAAUAAAAACUAUUUUUAUUUUCCAUUUAUCAAAUGUAAUUUUUUUCCUUCCGAAAACAAAAAAUUGUUUUCAAAAAUAGUUACUAGAGAAUGCCCUAAGUACCAAAGUAUUUUGUGGAAGAAUAUAAGGUAAAUUUUUUAUCUUUUGUAAAAUUUUUAUUUUUAAACAUAUAAAAUAGAAAAUAUAUCCAUAUGUAAUUGUAGUAAUUAUUAUAAAUGUUUUAUUUGAAUUUUAGAUAAUUUAAAAAAAUUUCCUAAAAUUUUAUUUAACUUUUAUAAUUUGUUAAGGUCUAGGUUUUUGUCAAGUCUUCAUCUACAUUUAUGUAAAAUUAUGUAGGUUUUCAAAGAUUCUCGGAAAAAUUUAUUUCAUUCUCAUUUUGAUUAUACUGGUUUGUUUUUGUCAAGUCUUUGUCUAGUUUUAUGUAACAUUUUGUAGUUUUCUAAAAAAUCUUGGAAAAUUUUAUUCCAUUCUCAUUUUGAUUGUGUUGUUUUGUUUUUGUCUUCAUCUAGUUUGGUGAGGAGUCAAUAAAUUCAUAACGCGUAAAUCAUAACUUAUUUAAUUUGUUGACUAAGUUAAUAAAUAUGAUUUAAUAAUUUAAUUUAAGUAAUUAAAUAGAUUAAACAUCUUUGAUAAAAUAAUCUAAUAUCAUAAUUUAAUAUAAAAAAUAAUUUUAAGUAUUAAGUCAAAAUGCUUACUCAUUCUUAAUUUUAAAUCUUUUUUACCUAUUAUGCUCACAUGAAAUCUAAUACAAAAAAUUUUAUAAUCUAACUUUGGGUUUUUUUUUCUUUAAUGUUUCAUUAAUUUGAACUCUUAACUAAACAUAAAUAUUUAAGUGCAUAUUUAUUUUUAUAAUGAUAAGUAUUAAAACAAUAUAAAUUAAAUAAUGUAAUAAUUUUUAAAUUAUAAAUAAUAAGAUAGAUAGUGUUUUUAUGUAAAUAAAAUAAAAUACUAUAUUUUUUGUUUUGUUUUAAAUAUGUCUUCACACUUAAAUAUUAUAUAUGUUUUCAAAUAUUAGUUCAUUUAAAUUUAAACUUGUCCUCAUUUCUUUUGAUGAUAUCAAAUAUAAAAGAUAAAAUGUUAUUAAAAGUUUGAAUUAUAUUUAUAUUUCAUAGUUUUUUUACAUUAUUGGUUUGACCACAGUUCAAUUAUCAGUUCCAAUCAAUAAAUCGGUAAUUUUUUUUAUUCAAUGACUGGUCUAGUUCUAAAAACAUUGAUUUAAUGUAUUAAAACAAUUUUAAUAUUUAAAGUAAAAAUAAAAUAUUAUGUUUAUUAAAUAAUAAGUAUUAAGUUUUAUUAGUGAUUAUUUAAAUUUUUAAAAGUGGUUUUAAGAAUUUGUCAAACACCUAAUUUAUCUCAAAAAACACUUUCAUGUAUCACAUAUGAGAGACUUUUAACUUUUUCAAAAUCAUUAUCAAACAUACUUAUGAAAAAUUUUACAAAGAUUUUUUGGUACAUAUUUUUUGUAAGUUGUCAUUGUUUACAUUGGGUUGACUCUUCUAAGUCUUCUUCUUGGUCUUUUAGGUAAACACAGCGUAGCUUGGAAAAUUAUAUGAAUAAAUCCAUCAUUUAUCUCAACAUCAAUAUUUUUUUCUUCAAAUUAUUUGAUAGGAAACCUCGGAAAAUAUUGCCUUGAAAAAUGUGGUUGUAUUCACAUUUUUUCCACGAUAGUAGAGGUCUCAUAUUUUGGCUAUGAACUUUUUGGAAAAUCUAUUAUUAGAAGUAAACAACACGUAACUAAUUAAGUCAUUAAAUUAUUUAGAAAUAGUUUUUUUAAAGGUUCUUAGAAAACUUUACAUUUUUAUUUUGAUUUAUAAUGUCUAAAAAUCCUAUAUUACACUAUAAAUUAUUUUAAAAAUAUGCUAUUAGGAGUAAAGGAAACAAGAAACUUAUAUCAGUAAGAAAAAAUUUCUAUCUUUACCUUUUGAAAUUAGAGAAACUAUAUUUUUUUUAAUUAUAAGAAAUGAUGGAAAAAUAGUCUAAUUGAAAAAAAAAAAAAGGUAAAAGAGAAAAAUGUUUGUUUUAAAACAUAAUUUUUAAAUAUAAACCUAAAAAUAUCAAAUGUAUUAUCAUUAAUAUUUGAAAUUAUCAAAAUUUGUGAGAUAAUAAUUUCAUUUUGUUCUCCAUUAUAUAUUUAUGUUUAUAUUAAAUUUAUUUUCAUUAAUUUUUUUUAAUAUAUUAUUAUUUUGUGUUUAAUGGGAUAAUAUUUUCAUUUUUUUUUUGUAUAUUAUCCAUUUAUGUUUAUAUUAAUUUAUAUAUAUAUAUAUAUAUAUAUUAUCAUUUUGUGUUUAAUGUACAAUAAUUUUUUUUUUUGUCUAUUAUGUAUUUAUGUUUAUAUUAAAUUUGUUUUAUUAAUUAUCUUUUAUAUAUAACCAUUUUUUAUUUAAUGUGUUUAAAAAAAAUUAAAAUUUAAAAGAUGUAAUGAGAGAAAGUGUAGUGAGAAAUAAAUAAAUAAAUAUGUGUCGAAAACUUAGAUAAGGUAACAUGGAGGAGAAAAGAGAAAAAAAAAAUUGACUCAAUUGUGUCAAAAACCCGUAAAGGUUUUUGUGUGAAUCUCAUUCUUUUUAUUCCAUUUCUUCUAUCAUCUCUUAUAUUUUCCUUUUUCAUGUAAGCACGUUAAAAGUUUACCAAAGUUGCGAUUAAUUAAAAAAUAUUGCCUGUUCACAUUUUGAUUCAUUCAUGAUGUUUAAAUGUUUUGCAUGUAUUUGGGUUCUAGCCCUUCCAAAAAUCCACUAAUUUUUGUGUUUUGGAAAAUCCUCACCUAGUUCAUAUUUUUUGUGUUCUCAUUCUUCAUUAAGUUAGAAGACAAUCUUAGUGAGUGUCAAUGUUCACAUUACUUUUAUUGCAAUCCACUUGAGCGGAGACAAGGAAAUUUCAUUCAUGGUGGUCUUCCCACUAAAUUAAGGUGAUUGAGAUUUGUUUCGAUGGGUCAAUAUCAUGAAUUAUGUGAACACCAAUAUUAGAGGUUGUAGUAGUAGACUAUAAAAGUGUUGCCUAACUUGGGGUGUUUUCCGGAAGAGAGCCUCUUAGACACCAAUAUUCGAAAGCACUUAUCUUGAUUAUGGGGGUAAAAAAUGAAGUAGUUUUUGUUUUAGCUUAUGUUUGGUUCUUGGAAAACACUAAGGAAAGAAAAAAAAUGUAAAAGAAAAUGAUUUUUUUCAUGUUUAAUUAUCUUAUGAAAAAUAUCAAAGAAAACCAAAUAUAAUUAUAACUAGUUAGAAAUUUAUAUAUAUUUAAAUUAUUUAAUCUUUAUAUUAAUGAGUUAAAAUAAGUAAAAUGAGUUUAAAAUAACAAAUAAAAAUAAUUUAUAGACUCUUAAUCUAUUUUUUAUUUUCCUUUACUUUUUAUUUCCUUUUACUUUUCCUUUGCAUUUUUUUUCCCUUGCAUUUUUCCUUAAAUUUUUUGAGAACCAAACAUAGCCUUAGGAAACAAAAGAAGUAGUCCAAAAGUAUUUUGUAUAUGAAUAUAAGGUAAAUUCCUAUCUUAUGUACAAUUUAUAUUUUUAAAAAUAAAAAAUGGAAAAUAUAUGUACAGACAACCUUAAUAAUUAUCAUAAAUAUUUUAUUUGAACUUCAAAUUUUCUUUUCAUUUUUCAUUUUAUGAUUUAAAAGUUUUAUUUUUUCUAAAAUUUCAUUCAACUUUUAUAAUUUGCUAUUGUUCGCUUUUGUUUUUGUCAAGUCUUUGUCUAGUUUUUCAAAGAUUCUUGGAAAAUUUUAUCUCAUUCUCAUUUUGAGCGUGUUGUUUUGUUUUAGUCACGUCUUUAUCUAGUUUUAUAAUGAGUCCACAAAUCCAUACUGCGUAAAUCAUACGUAAUUUUUUUUUUUUGACUCAUUAUGAAUAUUUUAUUUAACUUUUAAAUUUUCUUUUAAUGAUCAUUUGCGUUUGUGAAGGGUCAUUCUUUUCAUUUUGUUUGACUUCUCAAAUCUCAUUUUCAUGUGAAACUUUGUAGGGUUUUCCAAAGGCCCUUGGAAAAUAUUGCCUUAUUCAUUAUGAAAUCUUCCAAAAAUCCAUGACGGGCAAUAAAUAAGGUAUAAGCUUAAUUGAGUGAUUACAUUAUUUAGAACUUAUAUAGGAUUGAUUUUAGGUAAAGCAUUCUUAAUUUGUAGUAGUCUUUGUAAUUAGUGUUUUUAUUAGAAAAACUUUUUAAGAAAAAUCAAUUAGUGCUUAGAUAUAAUAACAAAAAAAAAUAUAUAUAUUUUUAUAGUAUUUUUAGUAAUGUGUUAUAUAUAACAAAAAAAAAAAAAACAUAAAAUCUCCUAACAUGUGAUCAUCCAUGAAUCACUUUAGAUGAUUAACUAAAAUUUUAAAAUAACUUUAUGAUUAUCAUUCUUUAAUUUCGGUUGACUCUUCUAAGUCUACUUAUUGGUCUUUUAUGUAAAUAUGCUAUAGUUUGGAAAAUUCUAUCCAUCAUUAAUCAACAUCAAUCGUUGUUUUCUUUAAAUGAUUUGAUGGGAAAGCCUACCUCACAUGGAAUAUGGAGUGCCUUUGUUUAAUGGAUUUCAAUUGCAUGCUCCUGGAAAUUAUGCCCUAAUCCAUAUUUUUUUGCGUUGAUAUGGUGAGUUGUUGAAGAUGUAUUUCAUUUUCUUGAAAAGAAAUAAUUAGUGCAUAAACAUUUUUGAAAUAUUAAAUUAAAGAGGAAAAUGACACCAUACUCCCAUAAGAUUCAAUAUAUUUGUUUAUUUGUUAAAGAAGUAAAUAAUUAAUUAAUCAAAGACUUUAAAGGAAAUAUUUGUGUGAAUUAAAAAUAUAUAUUUAAAUUAUAAAGGAUUUAGAUAGGAAAGAAACAGAGGUUUUAAAUGUAUAAACUUGCAUGCAACAAAGGGAAUUUGUUGUCAUUGUCUACUGCCUUCUUUGUUACGUUAGAAGAGAGACAGCUGGGUGAUGAGCAUUUGUGUUCGAUCACAUUUACUUUUAUUGCAUGCAGUCCGCACUUAACUGAAAACAAGAAAUUAAUUCAUGGACCACGAGGACAUUAAUAUUAAUAUUAGAGACGUGAGCAGUAGACUGACUUGACUUGGUGUGUGCUUCCGGGAAGAGUCUUUCUUAGUCUUAGGCACCAACUAAUAUUUAUAUUUAUAUUUGCAUUAUAAAAGUGUGGUAAGGUUUAAUUGAUUGCGCAGAAUUAAAGAUGGCGUCCUCCAUUAUUAUUUUUACAGCAGUGGUGGUAGUUACCAUCACCAGUACCAUGAUGAUAAUGUUAUUCCCCCUUGCCAAUGCAAUAUCAUCACCAUCUUCAUCAACUGAUGAGGCAGAGGCUUUGCGCAGCACCGGUUGGUGGAAUUCUACCUCUGCUCAUUGCCACUGGGAUGGUGUAUUUUGCAAUAAUGCCGGAAGAGUGACUGGAAUCGCCCUUUACGGUUCAGGAAAAGAAUUGGGUGAGCUUAGCAAAUUGGAUUUUUCUUCAUUUCCCAGCCUGGUUGAGCUCUCCCUUUCUGACUGUGGACUCAAUGGUAGCAUCCCACACCAAAUAGGUACUCUUACUCAACUCACCUAUCUUUCUCUCGGUCUUAACAAUCUUACAGGUGAGCUACCUCUUUCCUUGGCUAACCUCACUCAGUUGGAGGUCCUUUCCUUUUAUUCUAAUCGACUACAUGGUUCGAUUCUUCCUGAAAUUGGGAAAAUGAAGAAUUUGACUGUUUUGGAUUUGGGUAAUAACAACCUUACUGGUGUCAUCCCUUCCUCUUUUGGUAAUCUUACCAAUCUGACAUUUCUUUAUCUUGAUGGUAAUAAAAUAAGUGGUUUUAUCCCUCCUCAAAUUGGGAAAUUGAAGAAUCUGAGGUUUCUCUAUCUUUCUUCUAACGGACUACAUGGUCCAAUUCCUCCUGAAAUUGGGAAAUUGAAGAAUUUGGAGGUGCUUUAUCUUUUUUAUAACAAACUACAUGGUCUAAUUCCUCCUGAAAUUGGGAAUAUGAAGAAAUUGAUUUUUUUGAAUCUACGUAGUAACAACCUUACUGGUGUCAUCCCUUCAUCUUUUGGUAAUCUUACCAAUCUGAAUUCUCUUACUCUUCGAGGUAAUCAAAUCAGUGGUUUUAUUCCUCCUGAAAUUGGGUAUCUUUUGAAUUUAUCAUAUCUAGAUCUCAGUGAGAAUCAAAUCAGUGGUUUCAUCCCUGAAGAAAUAGUGAAUUUGAAGAAAUUGGGUCAUUUGGACAUGAGUAAUAACUUAAUACGUGGAAAGAUACCUUCACAAUUGGGAUAUUUGAAAGAAGUAGAAUACUUCAAUCUCUCCCAUAAUAACCUCUCUGGCACAAUUCCUCAUUCUAUUUCUAAUAACUACAUGUGGACGUCAAUUGAUUUAUCACACAAUCAGUUGGAGAGUCAGUCCACAACUCCACAUGAGGCAUUUGGCCACGACAAAGGUUUAUGUGGUGGAAUCAACGGUUUGUCGCAUUGUAAGAAAAGACACCAAAUCGUUCUCAUCGUUGUUAUUUCUUUAUCUGCAACCUUGUUGCUUUCAGUUACAGCCCUUGGGUUUCUCUUCCAUAAACAAAAGAUAAGAAAAAAUCAAUUAUCGAAGACAACAAAGGCAAAAAAUGGAGAUUUGUUUUCCAUAUGGGACUAUGAUGGUACGAUUGCAUAUGAUGACAUCAUCCAAGCAACUGAAGAUUUUGACAUCAAAUACUGUAUAGGCACCGGAGGCUAUGGGAGUGUUUACAGAGCACAACUGCCUAGCGGAAAAGUGGUUGCCUUAAAAAAACUUCAUAGUUGGGAAAGAGAGGAUCCAACUUACCUGAAAAGCUUUGAAAAUGAAGUUCAAAUGUUAUCAACAAUACAACAUCGUAAUAUUGUGAAACUUCAUGGCUUUUGUCUACAUAACAGAUGCAUGUUUCUCGUUUACAAAUAUAUGGAAAAAGGAAGCUUGUAUUGUAUGUUGAGGGAUGAAGUUGAGGUCGUGGAAUUGGAUUGGAUUAAAAGGGUAAAUGUUGUUAAAAGCAUUGCUAGUGCUUUAUCUUACAUGCAUCAUGACUAUGUCAUGCCCAUCAUUCAUCGAGACAUAUCAAGUAACAACAUUUUGCUGGAUUCUAAGCUUGAAGCUUGUGUAUCGGAUUUUGGCACUGCAAGACUGUUAGAUCCCUACUCAUCCAAUCAAACCCUUCUUGUAGGCACUUACGGUUAUAUUGCACCAGGUAAACUAGACUAUACUCUUCACUAGUUUUUAAUUGCUUAUGAAUAUUUUCAAUUGUCACACCCUCAAAAAAAUUCAAAUGUUUUUUAGAGAAUUCAAAACAUUUUAUAAGUUUUCUUUAUAUACAAAACAUAAAUACUCAUUUUUUUCCCUAUAUUUUGUAGAGCUUGCUUAUACUAUGGUUGUGACUGAAAAAUGCGACGUUUAUAGCUUUGGGAUGGUUGCAUUGGAGACAAUGAUGGGAAUGCAUCCAGGAGAACUUGUCACCUCAUUAUCAUCUUCAUCAACUCAAAACACAACAUUAAAGGAUGUAUUAGAUUCACGUCUUUCAUCUCCUAAAAGUACAAGAGUUGCUAAUAAUGUAGCUCUUAUUGUGUCAUUGGCGCUCAAAUGUCUCCAUUCUAAUCCACGUUUUCGUCCAUCCAUGCAAGAAGUGUCUUUGAAACUUGUUUCUACAAAGUCAUUCCCACAACCCAUCAGUGCAAUAUCACUUUUGCAACUAAAAGACGAAGUUAUUUAAAUGACAUGUGAGUUGGUAUGUAAUUGGAGUGAAGAUGUUUAUUUUCCAUUCUUCUUUUUCAUGCAUGUUAGUAAUGAGAAUUUUAUAGUAUAUGUAUCCCUUCUUUCCUAUUAAUUACUCAAAUGUAGCUUUUCUAUUUGUUUUCCAAAGUGACAAUAGUGUAAUGUGAUGAAAAAAAUUAUAUCAAAUUGAUACAUAAUGAUAUGUAAACUUUGAAUGAUUCAUAAUGGUUAAUCUUUAUAAUGAUCCUUCUUUGGAGAAGAAUCCUUCUUUUUCUUUUAUCAAUUUUAACAUAUAUACCAUUUUCUCAAUUUUAAUAUUCUAAUCAAUCAAAUUAGUGAUAUUUGUUGUGAAUGUGAUUGGUAGCUAUUAUCAAAGGCAUAUGAUAAAAUUGGGGAAAAAACAAAUUGAAUAAUUUCAAUAUGAUUGUCUCUACAUGAUGAAGUUAUUCUAUUUAUUUUUAAAAUACUAUUUUACCCAUUUUUCCUAUACAUUCUCUAAAAUUUUGUAUAAAAUAAAAUUAUUUGAUUUUGUAUAAGAACACUUAAAAAUGUUGAUGGGAAUGUGAAAUAUUAGGAUGACACUCAAACACCAAAUGACAUACUUGUGAUGCAAUAUUAAGAAAUUAUCAUAAUAUUUUACGAUUUGUCUCUACUAUGUAGUCACCUAUAAAUGUCAAUUUUAAAAAUAUUUAAUGAUCAAAGAAAAUUAAGUGAGAUAUGAUUAAAAAAUUCUAAAAAUUUUAUUUGCCCAUUCUAGAAUAAUAGAAAAGAUAUUCAUACUACUAAUUUUAUUAAGAUGAGAUACCUAGUUGAUAUAGUGUCCUUGCUUUUACAUAAAAUUAGACAUUAGAUUUACUUAAAUUAUUUUCAUAAUAGUGGCAUAUUUAUAAAAUAUAUGAAACUAAUUAAAUUGAAUAAUUGAGGUAACUAUGAAUAUAAGUAGGUCAUUAAUGCUCCUCGUUUUAUUGAAAUAUUAUAAAAGAAGCAUUAUUUCGGUUUCAUAUCUAAAGUUUUUUUUUUUUUUUUUUCCAACUCCAAUUGGUGUAUAUAGAUCCGAUUUUGUAGUGCAGGCCGGCAGCCAAUAGGAUUUCCUUCACAGAAAAGAAUGGACACAUGAACUACACAAAAACCAGACCAAGAAAUGAGUGUGGUGUUCUCUCCUGCCUUGGCUGGAAUUCCCACAUCACAACUGCCCUUCUUCACUCCAAAACCAGGUUCUUUUCUCUUUUCCUGUUUCUCAAUUCCCACAAUUCUCAUUCAUACUUAUUGUUAUUUCCCCCUUGUUCAGUUUUAAUAUGUUCGUAUCCUAAUUGAUCUUCAAUGCUCUUAGUCAAGUCCAAGAGUUGCAGAUUGAUUCUUGGGGCGUCAAUUCCAUUACUAAUAGCAGUAAUAAUAGUGGCAAGAGAGCUCAAUUGCCGGGUCACAAGGUCAAAUAUUAUUAUUCUUGUAUAAAAGAAAAUAAUUUUUAAUCUUUUUGUUUUAGAAAAAAUAAAAAAUAGUGUGGCUUUUUCAAAUAUAUUCAUCCCACAACUUCUUAUCCUAAUUUUCCCUAAAAUAUAUGAUAGAAUAUUUAUCUUAUAUAUUAAAAAUAUUUAAUUACAAAGGUCUUUUAGUCUUUAAACAUAAACUUGCAGCAAGGGAAGUGGUUGUCAUGGUCUACAUUUUUUGCGAUGCUAGAAGACACAGAGCUGGGUGUUAUGCAUUGAAAAGAAUCAGGUGGAUGCCAAUACAAGAGACUUGAGCCGUGUACUAAAAAAGAGUUGCUUGUCUUGGUGUGUUUGUAGGAAAAAUUGAUUAUUAUUAUUAUUAUUAUUGCAAUGUGAAAAAUAGAUGUACUAAGUGUAGAUUCUAAAAUUUGACUUCAAUUUAUUUUUAGAUUUUGAAUUUAAUUUUAUUCUUAAAUUUCAAUUCAAUUACACUUGAUUUUUAUUUCGAUUUACUUGUGACAUUUAAAUAUUAUUUUAUAUUAUUUUAUUUUAUUUUUAUUUCAUAUUUUAUUUUACCUUUUUUUCUUCUUUUUUGUUUUUCCCUUCUCUUCCCUCUUCUCGCUUAUCCUCACAUACCCACACUUUCCCCCCAUACCUCUCACGUCAGGAGACACCUCUCCUCUCCUCGCUUUUCCUUUUUUUCUCUCUCCAUUUUUUCUUCCUUUUUCUUCCCCUCAUUUUUUUCCUUUCUUUCUCCUCAUUUUUCCCUCUCUUUCUCUUCUUCCUCUCGCCCAUCACUCUACCCACACCUCCGGCACGGCACCAUCUCCCCUACUCCCCCAUCUUUCUCCAUUUUUUUUUUCUUUCUCAACCCAAACCCACUACACUACACCACCUAUUGCGCCAGUCACCGUGGACCAGUGGGCGACGCCACCUCCGACAGCCAACGACCACCUCCCAAUCCCAUCAUCUCAUCUCUCGUCUCAUCGCUUUUUCAUUUUUAUUUUAUUUUAUUUUGUUUUAUUUUCACAACAUACAGCAUCCAACAACCUUCCUUCAUCUCCAAAAAAAUGUGUAAGUUUAUUUAUGUAUAUUUUUUUUUUUUUGCUUUGAUUUCAAUAAUAAUUGUUAGUAAGAUUUGGGAUUGUUAAUUAACAUUAAACUUGGAUCCAUUUGUUAUUGGUGAAAUUUCUUGGAUAAUAUUUAAUAUGAUAAUAUUGUGGUAUAUUUUUGUUACAUUCAGACUUUAUAUAUUAAAUUGCGGCUUAAUUUAUUAAAUUAGGUUUGGAUGAUGAGAUAUUAAAUUUUUACAUUUAAUUGAAUUUAUUUUAUUUUAUUACAUUUUGAGCUUGAUUGAUUAUGUUUGUAUUGACUAUUAAGUUAGAAUUUUGAACUAAGGCUUAUAACAUAUAAGAUAUUUUUUUUGGGCUUUAUUUAUUAAUUUAGGCCCAAUUUUAUUGAUAAAAUUUAUUGGGCUAAUUUGAGAUUGCUUUUGGGCUUAUUAAAAAACUUUGUACAUUUUUAAAAAUUUAUUUUGGUCUGAUUUUUGUUUUGUUGUGCCCAUUCCUCAAUUUAUUUGUUUAAUAAAAAUUGUUAAGAAAAUUGAUUUUUUUUUAAAAUAAAAUUGUCCACAAGGUUAAUUUUUAAUAAAAUUGUUAAAAAAUGAUUUUAAAUAAAUCCUCUUUCCUUAAUUAGAAUGAGAUUAAAAGUAAUUUUUCUUAAUUGGGGUUUUAAAUAAUUUUUUUAAUGAGAAUAGGAUCAGGGUCAUUUUCGUAAAUAAAGUUUGUAAAGAAAUUAAUUCCUUUGUAACUAAAAUCAAAUUGAAAUACUUUUCUAAAUAAAGUUGUAAAAAUCCAUUCUUUUUUUUAGUAAAAGCAGGUAAAAAUUAUUUUUAUUGUCAAAUUAAUUUUUUUUUUAAAUUCUUUUAAUAAUAGUAAGUGUAAAUAACUUUCUUAAAAUAAGAAUUAAAUCAAAUCACUUCUUGAAAAUAAAUUAAAGCCUUUUUGGUAAAUAAAUAAAUUAAAAUCACUAAUUUGAAAUUAUUUUUAAUGGACUCCUUCAGAAUUUCUAGAAAAACCAAAUUUUGAAAUAUCAAUUUUUAAAUUAGUUUAAUAAAUUAAUUUGUUUAAUUCUCAUGUCAUUUGUUUUGUACAUUCUUAUGAUAUGACUUUGUCAUUAUGUUUAUGUAUAUUUAUUUGUGUGUCCUUAAUCUUGGUAUUCAUAAUUAAUUAAUUAAUUAAUUAUCAUAAUUUCCUCGAUUCGUUUAAUAGACACGGUAGGUAUAUGAGUUUAGAGGUAUGUUAUGACUUAUCAUCGUAUCUUCUCAAUAGGUAACUUGACCCUGAAGGUAAACUUAGUUUUUGUAGAUAUGUCUUUUCCAAAUAAGGAAUCAUAUAAAGUUUUCUUUCUUAUUUUAUCUUUUUUUAAAAAAAUAAAUUAAAAUAAGUGGCAAAUCCAAUUCUUUUAUAAAAAAAAAUAAAAAAUUUCACAAAUAAAAAGUAAGUCUUACAGUUGGAGUGGGGACACAUGUGGAGGAGUGGGGACACAUGUGGAAAACACGGUUUAUAGUAAAUUUGAAAAGACAAUCUCCAAAGUUGGCUUUACCAUUAUUAUUAUUUUUUUUUUAUUUUAUCAAAGAUAAGUUGAAAAAAUAUAUUUUAUAAAUAUAAUAAAUUUAUAGGGUGCUAAUGGAUGAAAUAGUCAAGUGUAUUUACAACAAAUCUCAAGAGGUCCAAAAUAUGUUUUUUUUUAAAUAAAUGAAAAAAAUGAAUGAAAAUUAAAUAAAAUAUAAAAUAUAAACCCUUCAUCAUUGAUACAAAGGACAAAAAUUUAGAAGAAAAAUGUUUCAUCAUUACCUUCUCUAAUUAAAAAAAAAAACCUAUAUUUGUUUUAACCAUAAUAAUCAAAGAAAAAAAAGGUAAAAAAAGAAAAUGGAAGGUGAAAAAUGAAAGUUUCCGGUCAAAAUAUAUAUAUAUAUAUAUAUAUAUAUAUAUAUAUAUAUAUAUAUAUAUAUAUAUAUAUAUAUAUAUUCUAAAUUUUCAAUCUAAACUUGUGUUAAAAAUAUUUGUCAAAAAGUAGUGUGUCCAUACAACAUCAAGUUUCACUUUGUUAUUAUUAUUAUUUGUUUUAAAACCAUAAUUAUUAAAUGUGAUUUUAGUUUUAAAACUAUAUUAAUGAGGGUAAAACCAAUAUUGGUAACUAUGGUUUUAAAUUUAAACCUAAAACCAUAAUUGAUAACCGUAAUUUUUUAUAUUAAACAAAAAAAGUUAAGUGAAUGUGUAGACCCGGGAGGAGUUUUUGGGGAUUUUCUACAUGAUUAUUCUUCUGACCACCCCGGGAAUUAAGUUGAUGGGGGCGGCGAGAUUGGACAGGAAACAGAGAGUAGGUAUGAGCUUGUAGAGGAAGUUUUCGGAGGAGGGGGACUGCUGUUCGCCGGAGAUGGGAGCAAAAGGGUAAAAGGAAAAGAAAGAAAAAAAGAGCAGAGAGAUGCAGGGAGAGGAAAAAGAAAGGGGGGAAUGCAGGGAAAGGGAGCGAGAAGAAAGGGGGCCUCCAGAAUUUUUCCCGAGUAAGCUUUUCCAUUAUGUUUUUCUUUCUUUCUUUGUUUCUCUUCGUAUAUUAUUAUUGAGAUGCAUUGUUGUUGAUUUCUGGAUGGGUUAUCCUCUGUCCCUCCUGGCCGGCUGUUCCUCUUUUGCUUAUGUGUAUGUUUGAAGAUUGAUUUAAUUCCGUUUUACCUUCUCUGGGAUAUUUUCAAAGAAAAGAGACUUUCUGACUCACUCUUCUUCAAGCCCACUAACUAAGAGAGGAAACAUAGUUCUUAAUGUUUCCUUUAUUUCUCUCCUUCCAUUGCUCUGUUUUUGCUGCUAUUCUCUCUGUUUUUCUUGCUUGGUUUUUCCCGAAUGUGAAGCCGUAAAGGGGAAUGGGUCUAUGGGAUAUUAUCACGCAACUCAACCCUCACCAGUCACCAUUCUCCCUUUACUGCAUCUUCUUCUCGAUCCCCCCAUUUCCCCCGCUUUCUACUCUAUAGAUCAAAACUACGACUACGGCAAAUUAUAGAAGCGGAUGCUGUGUUGAAAGCCCAUCUCUAUGACUGAAGCUGCUGCCGGUGGCGCUACUACUAUCCAUGACCUACCGGAUGUGAUUUUGUCGAGCAUAUUGGCGAGCGUGACCGGCACCAAGGCAAGGAACGCCGCGGCGCUGGUUGGCUGGAAAUGAUUGGUGUCGGAGAGGGGCACGCGGACCUCCCUCACCCUCCGUGGCAACGCCGUUCACAGCAAUCUGUACAGGAUCCCGACUAACUUUCAGGCCGUGACUCACCUUGACUUCUAGCUCAUCUUCUUUGCCAUGCCUUUCUGAUGGUGACCCCGCUCACUGUCCAUGCUCGCACUCCGGCCACUCUCCAACUCCUGGCUCCCCAAUGGCUCAAUCUCACCCACAGCAGCCAUUUCGUCCAUCAAACAGUCACUCCCAGAGAUGAAGCCUGCCACUCAUCACCAUUGCCGCCUUCCUCUUCAUCAAGAUCUCCGUCCAGCGCUGGAGACGACGGUGAGACCAGCAGCGCCGGCCAUGGCAGCGGCGGUGCGAGCGCCAGCAGAAACAGCAACUGUUGGUUUUUAAACCAGAUAAUUAAAAGAAAAACGGAAGCCAAAAAAAUUUUCUCAAAUUUUUUUUUUUCUCAAUGAUCAAUACUUGUAUUAAUUUAAUGAAAUAACAAAUAUAGGUAAUUUAGAAUUGUACCUUGCGAUUAGGCUGAUAAAUUUGAACUCCACCAAAAGGAUCUUAGAAUUCCAAAUCCUCUAAAGCACCAUGGAUCUUUCUCUAACGUUCUCCAAAAAAUGAUGAACUCAAAACGAGUGGGCGUUUUUCAUUCUUGGGUUAUUUUUUUUUUAUCACACAACUUAAUAUAUAUUGAAAACUUGUAUUCUUAUCCCAUCAUCCGAGAAACAUUGAGAAAAAAAAAACUUUUUAAUACCACGAAAUAACUGACAUAUUUUGAAUUUUGAAAAACAUGGGAGAGAAUAUCUCUCCCCAUGAUCCCCACUUAAAAAGUGUUUCUUAGGGAAUACAAGUAAGUGUGGUCUUCACCACAUUGUAUCAAAAAAUAUUUUAAAUAAUCAUAUUAUAAAAUAAAUAAAUCAAAUCAAGAUUGUGUGAAAUUAAUUUAGAAUUCAAAAUUCCAAACUAAUAAAAUCAACCCAACAUAAAAAAAAUGUUCAUAUAAUUUUAAUGGAGCCGUUGAGAGGAACUAUGGACAUUAUAAUUUUAAGCUCCAAUAACUUUGACAAUUAAUUAACAACUUAAUUAAAAAAUCAAAAUUAUUAAUUCCAAAAUUACUCCACUAAAAAUUUGGAAUUGCACUCUUAAAAUUAUAAAAUUAAAUAUAUUCAAAGGAUUUGAAUUGCCCAUUGAUAUAGUCACUACAUACGAGUCAAUCCUCCAUAAACGGUUCAUAAUUAAAGCUAGGUUUUUCCGUUAACCUCUUUAAUUAUAUCUUUCUCCUUAAGUGUCAUUGGUUCUCUAAUGAAUAAUAUAUUUAUGGUCUAAUCAUAAAUUGAGCGCUCUUAUCAUUCAAGGCCCGAACCAAUACUUAUGGGAACCGUCCAUCUGACUUCUUAACGAAGGAAUGGAUUUCAUCUUGUAUAUUAAUAUUCCCGGCUAUUUAUUUUAUUAUACUUCCAAUACACCAAGAAUUUGACACUAUGUAUUUGUGUCAUUACCCGGUAUGUAAAAAAAUACAAUAGAAUAAAUAGGAGUCUAUUAAUCACUCAGAAUUAAGAUCAAUGCAUAUAUGACCAUCAUUGAUUAAUAUUGAAUGCUCUAUAUUAUAACGGAAUUUAUCAGAGAUUCAUAAUUAAUCGUGUUCCAGUCCUAUAUAAUCAAAUUAUAUAAAGCGCUUUCAUUCCAAUAAUCUCAUUAUUAACAAUCCGGAUAAGAUCAUUUCAUUCAGAAUGUAAUGAACCGCGCUAGUAAUUUUAAAUUAAAGAUCCCAACUUUAAUUUUUAAUUACGAAUAUAUUAGAUUAUUUUACUUUAAAUAUUAUCCUCUUGUAUAUAACACUUAUAUACAAUAUUUAAAGUUACAAUUAAAUAAUCUAGGGUUUUCGAUAUUCAUAAAGCAUCUAUAACAUGCAUGCAACAAUAAUAUUGAAAUAAUUCCUAAAAAAAAUAUUAAUAAUCAGCAAAAUAAAAAACAUCUCAUUUGUUUAUGGGCACAUAUUCCAACAGCAACCCCCACCUCUAUUCCUUCAUACCAUCAUGGCCAUCAUUGACAUGAAGGCCCUAUCCUCCCCCCCCCCCCCCCCCCCCCCCCGUGGGCUUGCUAUCAGUUGGCCACCCUUUUUGUUCUUUUAAAAAUAAGGUGGCAGCACCUCUAGAUCUUCAUGGUGGAUGUUUGGCUGGUGGGCUUUGUUGGUGGGCUCCCAAAGCCCAGGUUGUAUGUUAAGAUUAGUUCACAUGGGCCUUAAGCCCCAUCCCCCAAGUUCGGGCCAAGUAUACAGCCCUCUCGAGUCUUUUCUUUUAAUGUUAUAAAUAUGUUUUUCCUAUGAAGAUUUUAAAAUCAGCUGUACAAAACAUCAUUUUCGAAAUAACUUCCUAAAAUUUAAUUUUAAAUUCAGUUUGCAAAAUUUUGAUUCUUGAAAAUUCAAUCCCGAAAAUUCCCCUAUGCAAUUAUACUCGUUUAAAUAUUAGGAUUAUUAAUUAUUAUUAUUUUAUAUGUAUCGAUUUAUCAUCUUUUAAAAAUCUCAUUCAUUAAAGUCUAAUCCUUCAAAAAUUCUAUGUUUUAAUUUAAAUUUUCAAUUCUAAAAAUUUCACAAUUUGUUUAAAUCCCAUUUUCAUCAACUAGAAUUAUCCUCCUAUAUUUAUCUAUUUAAAUUCUAAUCCUUCAAAAAUUCCAUGUUUUGAUUUAAUCUUUUAAUCCUAAAAAUUCUACAAUUAAUUUAAACCUUACUUUCAUCAAUUAGAAUUACCCUCCCAUAUUUACUUAGUUAUUUAAGGUCUAAUAUUUCAAAAAUCCCAUAUUUUAAUUUAAUUAUUCAAAUAUUCGUUUAAAUCUCAUUUUCAUUAAAUAGAAUCAAUAUCUCAUAUUUAUCUAGUCUAAUAUUUCAAAAAUCCCAUGUUUUAAUUUAAUUCUUCAAAUAUUCGUUUAAAUCUCAUUUUCAUUAAAUAGAAUCAAUAUCUCACAUUUAUCUAGUCUAAUAUUUCAAAAAUCCCCUGUUUUAAUUUAAUUAUUCAAAUAUUCGUUUAAAUCUUAUUUUCAUCAAUUAGAAUCAUUAUCUCGUGUUUAUUUAGCUAUUCAAAGUCUAACCUUUUCAAAAAUCCCUUGUCUCAAUCUAAUGUUUCUAUAAUUCAUUUUGAAUCUUAUUUUCAUCGAUUAGAAUUAUUAUCACGCACUUAUACACUUAUUUAAAGUCCAAUAUUUCAAAAACCCCAUGUCCUAAUUUAAUUUUUCAAUCCUAGAAAUUCCAUUAUUCGUCCAAAUUUUAUUUUUGUUAAUUAGAAUUCUUAUUCCAUAUCUAUUUAUUUAUUUAAGGCCCAAUUCUCCAAAAAUCCAACUUCUGAAUUAAAUUUUCAAUCCAAAAAAUCCUACUAUUCAUCUUUAUUCGCCUAAAUAUUAUUCUUGUUAAUUAGUGUUAUAAUCCCAUACUUAUCUAUUUAUUCAAAGCCUAAUCCGUCGAAAAUCCAACGCCCUAAUUUGAUUUUCAAUUAAAAAGAUUCCGCUAUUCAUUUAUUCGUAUAAACAUUAUUUUUGUUAAUUAGCAUCAUUAUUCCAUACAUAUUUAUUUAUUUAUUCAUUUCAAUCAUUAAAAUUCAAUUCUUCAAAAUCGGAUUUCCAAAUUUAAUCUUUAGACUAAAAAAUUUCACUAUUCACUUUUAUUCAUUCAAAUAUCAUUUUUGUUAUCAUUAUUAUAAAUUCCACGUUUACUUAUUUCUUUCUUCUAAAAAUUCCAAUAAUUAAAGUUCAAUUAUUCAAAGAUUCGACUUUCAAACUUAAUUUUCAAAAUCCCACUAUUCACUUUCAUCCGUUCCAACAUCAUUUUUGUCGAAAUUCGCAUUUCAAAUUAAUUUUUAAUCUCACAAAUCUCACUAUUCACUUUCAUCCGUCCAAAUAUCGUUUUGAUUAAUUAAUAACAUUGUUCCAUAUUUACCUAUUUAUUUCUCUUAAAAAUCUCAAUCAUUAAGGUCUAAUUCUUCAAAAUUUCGAUUUUUAAAUUUAGCUAUUUGAAACUCCAAUUGUCCAAUCUCCGAACUUAAUUUUCAGUUUCCCAUGCUCCAAUUCCCGUAUUUAUCCCGCUACUUAUUAUUAUCAUUAUCAUUAUCAUCUUAUUCAUUAUUUCUAUAAAUUCUGCAUUCGAAUGAUUUCUAAGAUUUCCAAUUUUUACACAUCAACUUUCAUAAUUUCUAUUUCUCAAAUAACUUACGAUUCUGAUCUCUUUCAAAAUUCAACUCCCAAAGUCUCAAUUUUCGCAACUUAAUCUUUCUUUAAAAUCCCGAACCCUCAAAUCAUCUUCAAAAUUCCAACCUCUUUCAAAUUCAGUUCCUAAAAAUUCUCAUUCUCACAUUCAAUCUCUAAAAGUCUAAUCUCCAAAUAAACUCUAAAACUCCAAUUUUCUAGUGAACUUCGAGAUUCCAAUUUUUCAAUUAAAUUUCAAAAAAUCUGAUUUUCUCUUAAAUAGCUUAAUUCCAUUCUGGUCUUCAAAACAAUCUUCUGCUCCUCUGUUUUAAAAAAUGUUUUGAAAUAAACAAAUAAUCAAAUUUUGUAAUUCUGAAUAAUGGAAUUUACGGAUUUGGUCCAUUUGAUAAAUGGGUAUUGGUGGGAGCCCAACAUAUGCGACUUUAUAACUGAUUGAUUUAGUUGUCAUGCAUGAUUGUUUCUAUUCUGUCCUAUGACAUGCUUGAAAUCAUUCUUUAAUUGUGCACUAACCUCACUUUUUGAUAAGCGCAUUGUGGCUCGUCACUCAGGUACGUAUCUAUUCCCAUUCCGGUAUUUCCAUAUACAUGUUUUGAUUCUCCUAUGUGCAUGAUAAUUCCGGGUAUUCAUUGUUUUCCUCAUCAAUUGCCAUGAUUGCUUUAUUUUAUUAGUAGAGACCCGACUUUAGGGGCUUAGAGGGGUGCUACGGUCUUUACCAUACCUUCCUGAUGAGUAACUUGACCCCCGAACCCGAUCCAGUUUUUCAUAGACCACCUUUUCCAAAAUAAGGAGUCACACUUAGGGUUUUUCUUUCUUAUUUUGUUUACCCUUUAAAAAUAAAACAAAAAUAAGUGGCGACUCCAAGUCAUUUUUAAUCAAUAAAUCAAUUUUUUAAAUAAAAAUCGAGCUCGUCAUCAAGUGGGAAACGCAUGAGCCGAAAUGCGGGGUCCACAGAAUGAUUACGUUAUUACAAAGGUUAGAUUGGUAAAUAUUUUGGGAGAAAAUCUAUUUUCAUUAUUUUUUUUUUCAAAAGCACUUGAGAAAUGAUGUAAGUAUAUUAAUUUCAUACGUGCACUUAGUUAUUUUUUAAAAUUUAUAAAAAUAUUAAGGUAAGGAUAUUUUAGUUAUUAUGCUUUAAAAAUAGUAAUUAUGCUUCCUAUAUAAAAUAAAAUAUAUUUUAAUCUUUUUAUUUUGAAAAGAAACAAUGGUGUUGUUUUUCAAAUAUUUCAAUUCUAUUACACCUUCUCCCAACUUUUCCAAAAAUACAUACAUAGAAGAUAGAAAGAGUUUUUAUCUCAUAUAUUUAAAACAUUUAAAUUAGGAAGGUUUUUUAGAUAGGAAAUAAAAUCAUAUUAGGUGAUGAAUAAGUGAAUAUAAAUUGCUUUUUUUUUCAUACGUAGAAUAGGCUGUUAUUGUCUAGUUUUUCUGUUGGUUAGAAGACAGCUAGGUCGACAGUCAGCAAGAGAAGCCCGUGGACACCAAUAUUUUUAAUCUAUAUUUAAUAUAUAUAUAUAUAUAUAUAUAUAUAUUAUUUUUUUUGAAAAUAAUUUCUCCACAAUUAAAUAUUAUAUAUGUUUUUAAAUAUUAGUUCAUUUAAAUUUAAACUUGUCCUCAUUUCUUUUGAUGAUAUCAAAUAUAAAAGAUAAAAUAUUAUUAAAAUUUUGAAUUAUAUUUAUAUUUUUUAGUUUUUUAUAAUUAAUUAAUUUAAUUUUAUAUUUAUAACGUUACUAAUUUGACCAUGGUUCAAUUAUCAGCUCUGAUCAAUAAAUCGUAAAUUGGUAACUUUUUUUAUUCAAUGACCAGAUUAUAAAAACAUUGAUUUGAUGUAUAAAACAAUUUUAAUAUUUAAAGUAAAAAUUAAAUAAUAUGUUUUAAGUUAAUAACAUAAUUAAAAAUAACUUAACUUACAGUUAACUUAAGUCAUUAAAUAAUAAGUAUUAAGUUUUACUAGUGGUUAUCUAAAAUUUUAAAAGUGGUUUUAAGAAUUUGUCAAAUACCUAAUUUUUCUCAUAAAACACUUUCAUAUAUCACAUACGAGACACUUUUAACUUUCUCAAAAUCAUUCUCCUGACAUACUUAUAUAAAAUUUUACAAAGAUUUUUUGGUACAUAUUUUUUGUAAUUUGUCAUUGUUUACAUUGGGUUGACUCAUCUAAGUCUUCUGCUUGGUCUUUUAGGUAAACAUGGCAUAGCUUGGAAAAUUAUAUGAAUGAAUCCAUCAUUUAUCUCAACAUCAAUAUUUUUUUCUUCAAAUUAUUUGAUAGGAAACCUUGGAAAAUAUUGCCUUGAAAAAUAUGGUUGCAUUCCCAUUUUUUCCACGAUAGUAGAGGUCUCAUAUUUUGGCUAUGAACCUUUUGGAAAAUCCAUUAUUAAAAGUAAACAACACAUAACUUAAUUGAGUCAUUAAAUUAUUUAAAAAUAGUUUUUCAAAGGUUCUUCGAAAACUUCACAUUUUCAUUUUGAUUUAUAAUGUCUAAAAAUCUUAUAUUACACUAUAAAUUCUUUUAAAAAUAUGCUAUUAGGAGUAAAAGAAACAAGAACCUUAUAUUAGUAUUGUAGAAAACAAAAAUUUAAAAGAAAAAGUUUCUAUCUUUACCUUUUGAAAUUAGAGAAACUAUAUUUGUUUUAAUUAUAAGAAAUGAUGGAAAAAUAGUCUGAUUGAAAAAAAAAAAAAAAAGAGGUAAAAGAGAAAAAUGUUUGUUUUAAAACAUAAUUUUUAAAUAUAAACAUUAAAAUAUCAAAUGUAUUAUCAUUAAUAUUUGAAAUUAUCAAAAUUUGUGAGGUAAUAAUUUCAUUUUGUUCUCCAUUAUGUAUUUAUGUUUGUAUUAAAUUUAUAUAUAUAUAUAUAUAUAUAUUAUCAUUUUGUGUUUAAUGGUACAAUAUUUUUAUUUUUUGUCUAUUAUGUAUUUAUGUUUAUAUUAAAUUUGUUUUAUUAAUUAUCUUUUAUAUAUAACCAUUUUUUAUUUAAUGUGUUUAAAAAAAAUUAAAAUUUAAAAGAUGUAAUGAGAGAAAGUGUAGCGAGAAUUAAAUAAAUAAAUAAGUGUCAAAAACUUAGAUAAGGUAACAUGGAGGAGAAAAGAGAAAAAAAUUGACUUAAUUGUGUCAAAAACCUGUAAAGGUUUUUGUGUGAAUCUCAUUCUUUUUAUUCCAUUUCUUCUAUCAUCUCUUAUAAUUUCCUUUUUCAUGUAAGCACAGUAAAAGUUUACCAAAGUUGCGAUUAAUUGAAAAAUAUUGCCAGUUCACAUUUUGAUUCAUUCAUGAUGUUUAAAUGUUUUGCAUGUAUUUGGGUUCUAGCCCUUCCAAAAAUCCACUAAUUUUUGUGCUUUGGAAAAUCCUCACCUAAUUCAUAUUUUUUGUGUUCUCAUUCUUCAUUAAGUUAGAAGACAAUCUUAGUGAGUGUCAAUGUUCACAUUACUUUUAUUGUAAUCCACUUGAGUGGAAACAAGGAAAUUUCAUUCAUGGUGGUCUUCCCACUAAAUUAAGGUGAUUGAGAUUUGUUUCGAUGGGUCAAUAUCAUGAAUUAUGUGAACACCAAUAUUAGAGGUUGUAGUAGUAGACUAAAAAAGUGUUGCCUAACUUAGGGUGUUUUCCGGAAAAGAGCCUCUUAGACACCAAUAUUCGAAAGCACUUAUCUUGAUUAUGGGGGUAAAAAAUGAAGCAGUUUUUGCUUUAGCUUAUGUUUGGUUCUUGGAAAACACUAAGGAAAGAAAAAAAAUGUAAAAGAAAAUGAUUUUUUUCAUGUUUAAUUAUCUUAUGAAAAAUAUCAAAGAAAACCAAAUAUAAUUAUAACUAGUUAGAAAUUUAUAUAUAUUUAAAUUAUUUAAUCUUUAUAUUAAUGAGUUAAAAUAAGUAAAAUGAGUUUAAAAUAACAAAUAAAAAUAAUUUAUAGACUCUUAAUCUAUUUUUUAUUUUCCUUUACUUUUUAUUUCCUUCUACUUUUCCUUUGUAUUUUUUUUCCCUUGCAUUUUUCCUUAAAUUUUUUGAGAACCAAACAUAGCCUUAGGAAACAAAAGAAGUAGUCCAAAAGUAUUUUGUAUAUGAAUAUAAGGUAAAUUCCUAUCUUAUGUACAAUUUAUAUUUUUAAAAAUAAAAAAUGGAAAAUAUAUGUACAAACAACCUUAAUAAUUAUCAUAAAUAUUUUAUUUGAACUUCAAUUUUUCUUUUCAUUUUUCAUUUUAUGAUUUAAAAGUUUUAUUUUUUCUAAAAUUUCAUUCAACUUUUAUAAUUUGCUAUUGUUCGCUUUUGUUUUUGUCAAGUCUUUGUCUAGUUUUUCAAAGAUUCUUGGAAAAUUUUAUCUCAUUCUCAUUUUGAGCAUGUUGUUUUGUUUUAGUCACGUCUUUAUCUAGUUUUAUAAUGAGUCCACAAAUCCAUAUUGCGUAAAUCAUACGUAAUUUAAUUUUUUUUUGACUCAUUAUGAAUAUUUUAUUUAACUUUUAAAUUUUCUUUUAAUGAUCAUUUGCGUUUGUGAAGGGUCAUUCUUUUCAUUUUGUUUGACUUCUCAAAUCUCAUUUUCAUGUGAAACUUUGUAGGGUUUUCCAAAGGCCCUUGGAAAAUAUUGCCUUAUUCAUUAUGAAAUCUUCCAAAAAUCCAUGACGGGCAAUAAAUAAGGUAUAAGCUUAAUUGAGUGAUUACAUUAUUUAGAACUUAUAUAGGAUUGAUUUUAGGUAAAGCAUUCUUAAUUUGUAGUAGUCUUUGUAAUUAGUGUUUUUAUUAGAAAAACUUUUUAAGAAAAAUCAAUUAGUGCUUAGAUAUAAUAACAAAAAUAUAUAUAUAUAUAUUUUUAUAGUAUUUUUAGUAAUGUGUUAUAUAUAACAAAAAAAAAAAAAAACAUAAAAUCUCCUAACAUGUGAUCAUCCAUGAAUCACUUUAGAUGAUUAACUAAAAUUUUAAAAUAACUUUAUGAUUAUCAUUCUUUAAUUUCGGUUGACUCUUCUAAGUCUACUUAUUGGUCUUUUAUGUAAAUAUGCUAUAGUUUGGAAAAUUCUAUCCAUCAUUAAUCAACAUCAAUCGUUGUUUUCUUUAAAUGAUUUGAUGGGAAAGCCUACCUCACAUGGAAUAUGGAGUGCCUUUGUUUAAUGGAUUUCAAUUGCAUGCUCCUGGAAAUUAUGCCCUAAUCCAUAUUUUUUUUGCGUUGAUAUGGUGAGCUGUUGAAGAUGUAUUUCAUUUUCUUGAAAAGAAAUAAUUAGUGCAUACACAUUUUGAAAUAUUAAAUUAAAGAGGAAAAUGACACCAUACUCCCAUAAAAUUCAAUAUAUUUGUUUAUUUGUUAAAUAAGUAAAUAAUUAAUUAAUCAAAGACUUUAAAGGAAAUAUUUGUGUGAACUAAAAAUAUAUAUAUUUAAAUUAUAAAGGAUUUAGAUAGGAAAGAAAAAGAGGUUUUAAAUGUAUAAACUUGCAUGCAACAAAGGGAAUUUGCUGUCAUUGUCUACUGCCUUCUUUGUUACGUUAGAAGAGAGGCAGCUGGGUGAUGAGCAUUUGUGUUCACAUUUACUUUUAUUGCAUGCAGUCCACACUUAAUUGUACACAAGAAAUUAAUUCAUGGACCACGAGGACAUUAAUAUUAAUAUUAAAGACUUGAGUUGAGCAGUGGACUGACUUGACUUGGGGUGUGCUUCCGGGAAGAGUCUUUCUUAGUCUUAGGCACCAACUAAUAUUUAUAUUUAUAUUUGCAUUAUAAAAGUGUGAGGUAAGGUUUAAUUAAUUGCAGUGAAUUAAAGAUGGUGUCCUCCAUUAGAAUUUCUAGAGCAGUGGUGCUAGUUACCAUUACCAGUACCAUGAUGAUAAUGUCAUUCUCCUCCCUUGCCAAUGCAAUAUCAUCACCAUCAUCAUCAACUGAUGAGGGAGAGGCUCUGCGCAGCACCGGUUGGUGGAAUUCUACUUCUGCUCAUUGCACCUGGGAUGGUGUACGUUGCAAUAAGGCUGGAAGCGUCACUCUCAUAGAGCUUUCCUAUCUAGGAAAAAAAUUGGGUGAGCUUAGCAAAUUGAAGUUCUCUUCAUUUCCCAGCCUGGUUGAGCUCUUCCUUUCUGAC